UUGAGGAUGCUUCCACUUUCAGCUUUGAUUUCAACAGGCGCUCUACCAUUAAACAAUCAAAACAAAGGUAUCUGUGGGAACCCAAUGGCAAAAAUAUUAUAUAAAAAGAGUCCACGGGAAACCAAACCAGGGAAGAACCAGUAAAGCCAUGUUCAAAACCACCAAAUCAACACCACCACCCCCAUUAUAAAAAUAAAAUAACAUAAAAUAAAAUAAAGGUGUCGGAAUAUCAGCCCACUUACCUCUAAUCCUUAUCCACUCCUUCAUCUGUUUAACUGCCGCUUCUGCAUCUCAUCUCCCUAUAAAUAUUUGUCCCAACACAACCACCUUCUCCAUCAAAUUCAGUCUGUGCAAAACCAUUUUGAAAGCAAACCACUUUGAAAGCAAGUUACAGAAGAGAGAGAGAGAGAGAGAUGGCAGAUAUUGCAAUUUUGGUAGCUGAAGAGUAUGAGAGGAGGGUGAAGAAUGCAAGGAAGGCUGGAUCUGCUGAAGGAGAUCAUCAGCUGGAGACUGACUUGUUUUCCUGCGUUUCAGUUAUGGCUCACUCCCUCCACAAGAAGAUUGGACAAGAAAAGAUGGAGUUUGUCAAGUGGGUUAUGGAGCCCAAGAGCCAGAUUGGUCUUGAGGCCUCCAAUGGCUUCUUCUCUGCUUGAAUUUUCUUUGCCUUUUUUUUUUUUUGGGAUCUUUUUAUUUAUUUUCUUGCUGUACAUGUAACAUGUAACUUGAUAUCCAGCUUCUCCUUCGUUUUCAUUUGAUCUUUUUAUAAUUCAGAUAAUCUGUACAUAUUUAUCUUUUUAUUUAACAUGUUCUGAAUGAAUAUGAUUUUUUUAUUUAUCGCAUUUUCUUUUUUGACGAGGUGUCAUCACAUUCGAAAGGGUAAUCACCGUUUGAUCGCAUUCCGAUUUGGCUUGCAUAAAGUGCUUCCAACAUUGAAAUAGAUGCAAAUUUCUUUACAUGUGCCUGAGAUUUAAACUCCAAUAUUGCUAUUAAAUCAGAAAAAAAAAAAAGGAAAUGAAAAUUGUGAAUUUAUAGAGUGGAAUUUUGAAAUCAAUUACCUUGUGAUUGGGAUGGUUUGCCUCCUCUUUUGCUGCUGCCGACACUCGAAAAAGAUGUAACUUAAAUUGAAAUAUAAGGUAUAGAUGUGGUUUUUUAAAGUACAGAGAUGAAAUUGAAAAUACAAACAAACUACAUGAACUCAAAGUGUAAUUUAGUCAAAAGAUAAUUAUAAUAUUCAAAAUUCCCAAAGCAGAUGUAAUUUGGACUUUUAUUUUUUUAUUAAUUUAAAAAUGUUUCUUCAAUGUUACAUUGCUAGGCGUGAACAAAUACGUCAUACAUCAUGCGGAAAGUUUAUCGUGCUGCUAUUGGCAUUUUUGAAAGAAUUAACGGUUCAGAAAAUGCUUCUAAAGAUACUUCGACGUCAUAAAAGUUAACUCGUUCUUUUAAUUAAUAUUUUAGUUGUACAAAACAAAAGAUCUAAAGUAAGAAGUCUCUUUUACCUCUAUCCAUGUGACCAGAGGUUUGAAACUCCAGGUAUCCAAUGAAUAUUUAUGUAAACUCCUUCCCGAAUUACUUGAACUAAAAAAAGAAAAGAAGAAAUCUCGUUGCUUAGCAAACAUUACCAAAAAAAAAAUAACAAUCCUCCUUGUUCAAUCUCAUAUCUCUCAUCUUUUUUGUUCUUCAAGAAAUAGAACUAUGAUAUGUUUUUUGGUACAAUAAAAAGGACUACAUUAUGUUGACCUAUGAUCCUUUUCGGCCAACUAGGUCAAUUUUAUUCGAAUAGCAUAAUUGAUUGGGCUGAGCGAAAGUGGUAAGAAAGACAUUAUUCUUGGUGUGAGUGUGUGUGGCUUACCAGUACAAUGGUCAUGAGUGGCAUUGGGUAUGAGCGAUUGUGGCUGGGAUAGGAACAGAUUCUCAACCAUCAGGUUCUAAGCCUCAACCACAAGGUCUUUAGAAUGAGCAAGUGGUUGGAUAGUGUCACCGAGCUCAGUAGCUUGGUGGUGGCAUUGAGCUCGAUAGAUCAAUGGUUUAAGACAGCUUAAGAAAUGCAGAUAUCCUAAGAAAUUUGGAUGGAUUAGAUGGUGCUUAAGAAAUAGCUUAAGAACUGCGGGUAUCAUAAGAACUUCUUGUUGAUAUAUUGAAUGAACAAUCGAAAUAGGGAAUGCCCAAGAACAUAGAACAAUGGCUGAGUUCGUUUUAACGAGAGUUACACUAAAUCCUAAGGAAAAGCAUUAAAAAUUUUGAACUACAUGAUUAAAGGUUAAAGAGUGCAUCAAGCAGCCCUUGGGCUUGAUUUGUUUGAUUAGUGUUGAACCCUUGUCUCAUCGUUCUCCCUUCUAUUUAUAGAUUUUUAUUUCUUCGGCUGAGGAAGUUAUUCUGACCUCACUUCAACUCCCCUCCAAUAAGAUUUUGUAGCUUCUUUUCUACACUUUAUUUGUGACUGGUUAGAAUGGACGGUGGAAAAGUUAACCUUUGGCUUGAUUCUGACAUCUUUGGACGUGGAUCCCUGACCUUGGUUCGGCCUCCCGUUGUUGCUCUUUCGAUGAGGCAAGUACUUCUAUGGUCAAAAUUAUUUUGGUCUUUGCCAUUUGCUCUCUCGAGUGAGGCAAAUAAUUGGUAUGCAAGAGCAGACUAUCUCCUUUUGUGGUCGAGCUCAAUUCUUUCAAAAUGUAAGUACUAACUAAGCAAGCUUCCCUUUGUUUGCUCUCUUGGUGAGGCAAACCUUUUCUUGAUUUGAAGACCUCGACUUCAUUCCUCAUUUAGGCUACUCGUAUGGGCUCAAAAGUCUUUUCUUAGGCCCAAAGCAUGCUUCUUCCUUUCCUCUGAAGGCCUACUCCUUUUAAGCCCAUGAGCAAAAAAUUCUAGGUCUUAUGAUAUUAUUUCAUUAUUUUAUUAUUUCUUUUCAAUUAAUUUACCUAGAAAGUAAUAAACCAAUAAAAAUUAUGUAAUAAAAUAAUAUUUUAAGUUGACAUGUGGGGUGGAAUAUAAAACCCUAUUCUAUUCCAAAUUUCCACAUAAACCAUCAAAUUCAAAUUUAGUGUUUGAUAUUUGACAUCUUGAAAUACUUCAUAACAAACUUUAUUUAGUUUAUUUAAUUAAAUUGUGAAGGACUUUGUGAUGUUUGGAAGUUUGUGGCUCUUCGUUUCAUGCGACCUUUGGCUCUUAAUCUUUCAUCUAAUUAGUUUGAUGAGGCUGUAGGAGAGAGUUCAGAUCCUUUAGGCCCAAUUUCUCUGUACCCUAGCUAAUUUGUUGACACUUAGACACUAAUUUAACUCUAAUUGAACAAUGUUAAGUCAAAAAAAUAAAAAUAAAUAAAUAAAAAAGGCCCAACAACCUCGACGACAACCCAUCACCUCCUCCUAUUCGCUCAUCUUUGUCUUCAUCUACAUCAGAAAAUUGACCAAGCAUAUAAUCCUAGUCUUCUGCAAGACAUACUCCACCGCCUAGCCAUGGACGCUCUCCCGCAAGACACACUCCACCAGAUCAUCUUGAGCCUUCCCCUCCGUCAGGUCAUGAUCUGCUACUCACUCUCCAACUCUUCAACUAGCUCCUGUCCUCCAUUCCCUGCCUUCAUGUGUUCGACUCUGGCCAUAACUAAUCGCUCAGAUUCACCCUAGAUUUUCUCCCCUUCCACUCCCCUCACCCUGUGGCAUCCUCUCUCAGCUACGACCGCUAAGGGGAAUUGCCCAAGUCUACCAAGUCACUAGUCAUCCACAACCUGCUGACUCGCCAGUUCUAUGUCUUGCCCUAGCUCAGGUCGGCCUGGUCGCGCCACGACUCAGUCUUCGUUGAUUCCGAAACUCAAGUCAUGGUCCUCACCGAGCUCACCGCUCUCUAUUUCUCCGCUUCAAACCAGUGGCUCUAGUUCUCAUCCAACCUCCCAUCAAAACCCAUAACUUCAUAUAUAGCAAUUAGAAGAAAAUAUUGAUCCUAGUCUUCAUCAACUUCAGCAACUUCAAGGCUCUUUAUUCCUCCAAGUUGUCCAUUCCUCCAUGUGAAUUAGCUAAAGUUGAUAUGAAAGAAUUUUUUGCCUUUUUCUGUUGAUGUUGUCGUUGCCGUUGAUGUUGCCUUUGCCUUGUCUUUGCUUGCUUUGAUUUCCGUUGUUGUCACUGCUGCCGUUGACCUUGCCUUUAUUUGCCCUUGCUUUGCCUUUGACCUUGCCUUGUCUUUGCCUUGCCUUGCCUUUGCCAUACCAUGUCAAAUAAAGUAGGGCAACUAUUCAAUUAUACUCAUAUAUGCUCAUCUCUUUAUUUUUCUCCAAUAUGGAGGUAUUUAUAAAGAAGUAUAACCCUAAAUAAAAUAAGAAAUAAAUCCAAAUUACAAAAGAAAAUAAAUAUAAAUUACAAUAGAAAAUAAAUCUCAAUUAUACUAGGACUAGAAAAAUGGGUCAGUAACCAAAAUCCUAACAUAGUAAGGUGCCAAAAUCCUAACUAAGUAAGGACUCGCCAACACUCCCUCUCAAGUUAGGGCAAAGAUAUUUUGCAUACCCAACUUAACAAGCGAGUCAUAGAACACCAUACUUGGCAUUGGCCAAUUGAACAACUGUAGAUAAGGCCUUCUCAUAAACCACAAGUGAAACAACUGACAAACCCUAACAAAUAGGGCACAUAUAAGACACAUAAAAGCAGAACACAGAAACCCUGUGAGCACGGCAGUAGGUAAGACAGAAUACAGAAACCCUAUGAGCACGACAGUAGGUAAGUAUGAAACAUAUUCAACAAACUAGGUUUCAUAGUGCGCAUCAUCCAACUUUUCACGGUAACAUCAUCAAUUUUCCACUUUCCAAAUUGGGGGGUCUUUGGAAUGUGGGGCAUCAGAGUCACGAGUUAGGUAACCCAAUUUUCCUUGUGAAGUAGCAUAGAGUUUGAUCAUUGAAGCCCAAAUUGCAUAGUUGGAUCCAUUCAAUUUGAAUUCCAAGAGUAGGUUGGUGGACGAAUCAGUAUGAACCAUCACAAUAGGGGUAGGAGAAGCAGCAGGUGAAGUAAAACCAGAAGCAUGUGAAGAAAUAAAGGCAUCAACAUUCGACAUAGUGAUGGAUGGCAGGGUGGCGGUAGUGGCGACAAUAGCAGCCCAAGUGAAGGACAAUUCCUCCAUAUCUACUACACCUAAUUCACGCAGACACAACUUCUCUUCACUCCCCUAAAGAGAAGGGUCGUCAAAGUUAAGAAAUAUGCAAUAUCUUCAUGGGAAAGAAAAACAUAUAUUUUUCACCCCCUUGAAGACGAGGGGAGGAGAGCAAUUAUUGCAAGGAGAAUUCAAGCACAGAUCACAAGAGAACCUGGCUCUGAUAGUCAAACAAAUAGGGCAAAUAUUCAAGUAUGGGGUUAUUCGCAGCAAUGGUCCCUCAACUAUACCCGUAGUUACAGUUUGGUCACUCAAUUCAAUUAUUAGUUUCAGAGGUCACUCAAGUAGGUGUUUUGUUGCACCAUUAGUUAUUCUGUCAAACUCUGUUAAAUUUUCUGUCAAAAGUAAGGGUAAAUUUAGAAAUUCAUCUACAACCCUUCCUCUCCUCCACAACCCUCCCCUUUCUCCACAACCCUCCACUUUCUCCAUUGCCACAACCCACGCCUUCCUCCUCCACCUCCUCCAAUUCUUGCACCAUUGCACCAUUUGACUGCUGAAAUUUUUGAAAGGGCAAAAAAAUUGAGGCUCAUCAAUUAAGAAAGAAACUGAAUGGUGUGUUGUCAUGCGCUGGCAAAUAAGAAGGGUAUUUGGCACAAAACCUCAACAGAGGAGUUAAUUACUGAAAUGACGAAAAAACCAGUAAAAACCUUUCAUCCAUGUCUAUCUACCAUUCAAAACACAUAAAGUGUUGAGACUUUGAGACUUUGCACACAAUUCCCAAACCCAUCUCCAUAUCCCUCACUAAUUCUAACAGUUGUAAUAUAGGAAGGAAGAGCCGAGCACUCUCUCUCUCUCUCUCUCUACAUUUAUGUAUUUUAUGGUUAAUGGUUUACAGUGAGUGCUGGAUUAGGGUGGGAGGAAGGAUUGGUUGGCGAGUUUGGUAUAAGGUUGGAGAAGCAAUUGAGUUGUCUUUCUCUUUCCUUUUUUUUGCCCAGAUUUUGGUACAAGGGAGGAGAAGCAAGGAUUGGGUUGCAACAAUGGAGGGUUGUGGAUAAAAGAGAUGGUUGUUGAUGAAUUUUCAAAUUUACCCUAACUUUUAACAGAAAAUUUAACAGAAUUUGACGGAAUUGUUGGAAUUUUAAAAGGUUUUAAAAAUUUAACCAUUUUAUUUAUUUAAUUAUUUUGGCUGUUUUAUUUUAUUUAUUAUGGGGGUUAUAAAUAUUUAAUAUUCAUGUUUUAUUUCUGGUUGGUGAAUGCCUUAAUUUUUUGGUUGGUGAACUUUUAUGGUUGGUGAAGGUUAUAUGUUUUUGGAUGCCUAUAAAAGGCCACUCCUCCUUUACACAAAAACACACAAUAAGACACAAUAAGACACAAUACACUAUCAGAAUAUCACAUACACAUUCUAAUUUUAUCCUUUUCUAGUUUUACAUAUAUUCUCUACUUUAUUAUUAUUAUUUUGGGCAAUGGUUAUGUGACUUGGAUACCUAUAUCUGUCUGUGAACGUGCUCAUAGCAGAUCUUGAGUUUGUGUACAAGGGGUCGUAUCUUGGAGUCUUGUAGACCGUCAGUACCUGCACGUAGGGAGGCUACAAAGGCUUUAGGACAGCGUCUUUGACGUGCUUCACCGUACCAAACUCACCUUCUUACUUAUUAUUUAUUUUCCUUUUACUUACCUAUUAUUUUAUUUUCUUCAAUUUUAUUAUACCUUAAAAGCUUUCCAAUUUGUUUAUAUGUUAUUUAUAAUAUAAAUAUUUUGUAUUUGGCUUUACGGAAAGAGGAAAACUAUUAUUUUUUAUAACAAUGACUAAUGGUGCAACAAAACACCUAAUUGAGUGACCUACGGGUAUAGUUGUCGGACCAUUUUUACGAAUAACCCUUCAAUUAUGCUCAUAUAUACUCAUCUCCUUAUUCUUCUCCAAUAUGACGGUAUUUAUAAAGAAGUACAACCCUAAAUAAAAUAGAAAAUAAUCCAAAUUACAAUAGAAAAUAAAUAUGAAUUACAAUAUGAAAUAAAUCUCAAUUAUAAUAAGACUAAAUAAAUAGGUAAGUAACCAAAAUCCUAACAUAAUAAAGAACCAAAAUCCUAAUGAAGUAAGGACUCGCCAACAUAGAUAUGGUUGGCAAUGUAGAUGGGAGCCAAUUGGGUGGGUUGUGGUUGGAGUUGUAGUUGUUGGGCUCUUUGUUUCUUUUUCUAAUUAUUUCUGUUUUUUAUUUUAUUUUUUACUUAACAUUGUUAAAGUAGAGUUAAAUUAGUGUCUAGGUGUCAACAAAUUAGCUAGGGAAUAAAGAAACUCGGUAGGAGACUAUAAAUACUGCCUUUUCAACAUCUUCUUACACACAUGGUCUAUAUUACAACAUCAUAUUUUUCAGUCUUCUAAAUUUCUUGAGUUUAUUCUUGGGCUAAAUAAAUGAGUGCCCUUAAUUUUAGUGGAGCUUUAACCUUUUUGUUUUUUUUUUUAUCACAAGCAAAUUUCAUUACUUAGGAAAGAUUAUAAUACGGUGCACUUACGAAAAAGGUAAGACCCAAAAACAUAAAGGGGCAGUACCUCCAUCCACAUAAAGUGUGACUAACAAAAGCACACCACAAAAAGGCCAAAGGCCCAAACAAAUCCUUCAAAAGGGUAAACACCACAUUUAACACACUUAACUUUCCCUCACCCAAGUAAUGUGGGAUUGUGGCACCAUUCAUCUCCUUGGAGACCCGAUGUCCCUGUUAGAAAGAGCCAACUCUCUUAGUAUAUAUUGUCCAUUUUAGAUCCCGCCCACAUAGAUUUGUUCUAGGGCCUUCAAGCCCAAAAGCGUCGUACUAAGGGAGAUGAACUCUGAACAUAUAAUGCACUUUAUUUUCCCUCACUCAAGCAAUAUAAGGCUGUGGCACCACUCCUGGUCAUCACAGAGGUUAAGGGGAGAAGCUCCCACCAUAUAGAAGUACACUGCAGUAAAAAAUAAAAAUCUACCAGUAAAACCAAAAAUCCCUCACAACAUAGAAAUACAGAAGCACAAAUUCAGCUACUCGAGAUUGUCGUGAUUUUCGUCACUAUAUUCAGUAUAUUUGUACAGCUACAAUGAGGACAAAAAAACAGUGUGAUUGCUAGUGAAUGGACCUUAUUAUAUAUUAGGCCCAUUUCAUAAGGGGAUUAUUUAAAUAAAAUUAUUUGAGGGAUACCCUUUGGGGUUAAUAUGAAUACUUUUCAAUAAUUCGAAUGUUUAUUUUCCAAAUCUUCAUUCAUAGAUCAUUUUUGCAAAAAAUUAGACAAAUUGGUAACAAUUAAGACAUCUAAUUGUAAUUAACAAAAGAGACGAACAUGAUACUUCAAGAAAGCACUACAAUGACAACAAUUAAUUGAGUGGUCAAAUGAUUUCGGAUUCAAGUGAAUUUUUUUGCAUGGAUGGUAUUUGAAUAAAUACAUAAAAGAUAGACUGUCUGAAUCAUUGAAAUUCAUUGUGGAAUGGGCCCAUAAGGGUGUCCCUCAAAUACUUAUUUGAGGAAUCCCUAAACUGUUUAUAUAUAAAGAAAUUCUCCUAUGCAGGCAUGCAAACGUUAUUAUCAUUCACACAAUAAUAAUGUAUCGACAUCUGUAUGAGAGAAUAACUAUAUGUUUGCACUUUAUGCCAUUGUAAAUAGGGAGAAAAGCAGGGAGGUGUAAUAGAAAAUAUAUAGCGUCCACACAAUAAUAACGUCCUAAUGUCAACAUAGGAGAAUUUAUAUAUAUAUAUAUAUAUAUAUAUAUACACGACCAGUGGCGGACCCACAGAGGAACAAAGAGGUGCAGUUGCACUUCCCUUAUGCUGCCCACCAACUGCUCGAGCACAUGCCUGAACAAUAUUCUUCUUUCGUUGGUUGUGUUGCUGCACUACUGGGUUAAGUGUAGUGCCUUUGUUUUUUUUAAAAAAAAGUCUUGGCCAAAACGAUUUCGCUUUGGUCCAGGCGAGAAAAAAAAAAAAAAAAACUUGCAAACUGCCGACGCGGAAGGAAGCCUCCCAAUCCAAUUUGAAGAAGUCGUGCAAGGUGAUAUUACUGAUAUGCAGCAAAUCUCAAUUUUCUUUUAGUCAUGCAAGAUGUGAAUUUCAACGGAGAUGGAGUCCUUGCUUUUGCUUUAAAAUUUGAAUUUAAGCAAUUUUAGGUCUGGUUCCUUUCCUUUCUUUUUUUAAAUGAUAAGUUUUUAUUCACACAUUGGCCAAUAUCAAAACCAUUAUUGUUGUUUUCUUUUUGUAGAGAACUCUAAGUCUUUUAUAAAAACUGAUUCAUCGAUCAAGUCUUGUACCAAAGAAGAAAAUAUUGUAUCGAUCAAGCUUUCAAAGUGUGUUCGAAUGUAAUUCAUAGUUAAUCUAGAAAAAAGAAAAAAAAAAAUGAAACAUGCUGGGCUUUUUUUUCUUUUUCUUCAUCAACCAUGAUAGUUUCAUUUUCGGCAUAUAAAUGAAAUUAGCAUCCUUUAAAUUAUAAGGCUAUUUGGUUGUCAAUUUUUUUCAAAACUUUUAGCCUUUCAAAAUUGCACAUCUGUCGAAAAAUUCACGAGUCCGCCAGUGUACACGACAAUUAAUCCACCUACUAUGUUUGACUAGCUCACCAUUAUCUUUCGUGUUAAUAUAUCAUGAGUGUCCCAAUGGACAACGCACAAGAAGUUCAUUUGCUAAUAACUCAAGUGGAAAUGGCAGUAAUGGGUUUUACUAACUUUAUCAGGAAGGAUCGCUAAUUAAGCAGAUUGCACAAGACGAUUAUUUGUGAAUACAUUGUACAAUUAAUAAUUUCAAAUUUUAAUCUUGCUAAUAAAUUGCUGUUGAAAAAAGUGCAAAUAGUAGGUUAACAUUGUAUUAGGUGUAGAACUCCAUCAAAUAUACCAUCAAAUUUACCUACCAAUAUUUUAUUAUUUGAGGAACUAUCAUUGUAAACUUUAGUAAGUAUAUACUAAUUUCUGGUUUGGUCACUCCAAUUUAGUUCACCAAAUAUCCACUUUGUUUGACCCUCCGGGCAUGCCAAAACUUGCCAGUUAUCUCCAACCAAACCCAAGUCCCUAAGUUUUGGACAUCUAUUUUGAAUCCAAGCCAAAUACUUUAACAUUGCAAAGAUAUUACAACAAAACUUCAUGCAAGGUUCCAAAAUUAAAGUUAUAGUGCAAGCAGUGAAUAUGCAAGAAAAUAUCAAAUGAAAGCAAGAAGUUCUUGGCCCCAGCUUAACCCCACUUGAAAUGCGUAAACAAAUGCGUAGGGUCUAUAGAAACACAAGGAUUCAAGACAGUGUCACAAUCGAAAGAUCACUUUGGAUAAGAUAUUCAUCUCAGAAAAUCUUGUACUCAAACUGCUUUUGGAUAAUUCAAUGUGCUUUCCGUAUACAAUUUUAUUGCAAUAGAUAAAAGUAACUUGCACAUUUAGUGCUAUUGGAGAAAGCACCUCUCAUAAGAAAUGCUGUAAUGUAGACAUGUGCUUAAGCACUUUUGUUUUUUUGUUUUUGUUUUUUGUUUUUCUAGGGAAGAUCAUGGAAAUUCACUCAUUGAAAUAAAGGUUUACAUCUUUCUCAAGUGUUGGGAGCAGCCAACUAGGAGGCAAGCAGACCUAAUCACAUGAGACUAUUACGAAACUAGUAGCUUUGUGAAAUUUUUAUAUGUUUUUAACAACACUAUUACGAACACAAAAUGUACAAAAUGGUAACCAAAAAUUUACAAAAUAUGCUCCGUAAAAGGCUACAUAAAAAAAUUAUUGUAUUUUUUGUUGUUGUAAAGAAAUGAUUUUAUAUAUAGAACCAAAAACACCUUACAAAAAUCUGAAAAAAGCACAUCCCGAAUGAUAUUUAAGUCCCGAUACCAAACGGACUCAACAUACAAUGAUAAAACAAAACAAGCUAAUCUAUGGGCCGUGAAUGGAAGAUAAAAAACAGGAAGGGACAAUUCAUGCUUUAAUAUUUUAUGUACGUACAUAGCUAGGGAACAAAAAAGGAAAAAGAAAAAAAGAAAAGGCAUACUAAUUCUUACACGAGAAACUCUGAUUAGAAAAAUCUGUGUAAGCUGUUACCCUGUAACGAAGAUAACAAGAAAAUAAGCUCCUCAUCGCUGCCAUCAUAUUGUACCUGAUUUCUCAGCCGAUGAUAGCUAGCCACAACAUCGUCCGACAAGACCUUAGUCCGGCAAAGAGGACACGUGGCCCAAUACUGUUGGAGCCACCUGUCAAGGCAGUUCUGGUGGAAUGUGUGCUUACAUUUGAGCUGCCUAAUCUUGUCACCUUCCUCAAAGUCUGAUAAGCAAACUGAGCAUUCUGUUGCCUCUGGCCUCACGCUCCUCAAUUUUUGUGUGUAACACGUUGUUGGAUUUUUUUGCUCUAUGAGCUUGAGGUAUUGUGUGGUAGUGAUCACACGUUUGCUCGAAUUCGGAUUGAGACCGGCAAUCGAACGGACGAGAAUUACAAUUUCGAGGAUGAGGAGUGUGAAGAAGAUUAGGGUUAUGGUGUAGAGGUGGGAGAAGAAUUGAGAGAGAGCUCCCAUGGCUGCCGAAGACUAAAGAAAUGAAGAUAGAGGGUGAGGUCAAGUUAAUACAAUGAGACUUUUUGCCUUUUUGGAUAUAACAGCGAAUGUGGGCAAGUGCAGUGCCCUUGUGUUGUCCCAUCUUUAAAUAUCUUAUAGAAUUGUUAGGAUCUUCAUGUUUUGGAUUCGAGGGUUACGGGAUUUUGGUGCAACCAUAGUCAAAUUGUGACAUGUGGAUAGAAAAGAAAGAAUGUAACAUCACUAUAAAAGCGUUAAUUUUUGGCUUAAUUAUAACAAUGUUGUGAACUAAAGAGAAAUUGGAGAGGAAAUUGAGAUAGAGAAAGUAGAGAAACUGAUUUUCUUCAUUCUGAUUUUUCUGUGUUUCUUUCUAACAAUUAGUAGGCAAAGCCUUCCAACAUGUGGGCCCCUUUCCAACGUGUGGGCUCCACACCUAAUUAUUUACAACACUCCCCCUUGGAGACCACAAAUGGUAUGGAAUAUGUCUCGUUAAAAAAAAAAACUUGCCAGUAAAAACCCAGUGGGACAAAAACUGGUCAAAGGGAAAAAGAGUACAUAAUCAUGUGUAACAUAAAAUUCUGUGUAUAUUGACGCGCGUGCGACACUGCCUCGUUAAAACCUUGCCAGGAAAAACCCAGUGGGAUAAAAAUCUGGACGAAGGAAAAAGAGUACAGUGUUUGAAGAUCUUUAUUGAUAGCACGCUCCCCCUGAUGCUUGACAAAAUAUCUUUAAGUCAUACUGUUGAUCACCUUUCUGAAUAUCGUAUUUGACACUGCUUCUGUGAGUCAAUCUUGAGCGACACUGCCUCGUUAAAACCUUACCAGGAAAAACCCAGUGGGAUAAAAACCUGGAUGAAGGAAAAAGAGUACAGUGUGUGAAGGUCUUUAUUAAUACCACGCUCCCCCUGAUGAAUAUCUCCUCCUGAAAACUUCAUGACUAGCUUUUUCCAGUAAGCGACCAUAGAGAUUUCCAGAGUCCGCAUAUCUAAUAACACUUGGGCUAUUUGUAAGUUCACGCAAAAAUAUGCCCGUAUAUGGUAUUAUGCUGAAAUAGCAUCAAAUAUGCCUCACAUCAUCCCAAAAUGAUGGUGAUGGAGUUGAGCUCCAUCUGGAAAAUACAACGUACGGUCCAAUAUAUUUCCGGAAAAACAUUUAAGUGCCCAACGGAUAAUCCUAAAAAAAAAAAAAAAUACUUCAAUACUUUCUUAGUAUAAGCAAGAAUCUCAUUGGCAUAAUGCUCGAUCUUUAAGUCGAGACAAAUAUUUCUUGAACUCUUCAGAAGCUUUGCAAACACAAUAUAAUCAAUGUACUCACUAAGGCAAUUUAUACAUAUUAAUAUUGAGUACAGAUUUUGUGCUUCAAGCACAUGUCCUUUAGGGACUUGCUUUAUGCAAUUUCAAUCCUCUCAAAGGAUUUUGUUUAAAAGGGAUUAAACUUUAUGACACAUUAUAUAGCUUUUACCCAGCUAUUUAUACAUCUUUAGGGAAUCACUUCUGGCGAUAUGCUCCGUGCAUUUAAUAACCCUUAAAGAUAACAUGUUGGUCUCUGUAAAUGUGCAAUAAGGGGGCACAAUUGAAUCUGUAAAUAUGGAGAAAACCCAACAUUCCUUGUUUCUACCAGAAACAUUGUGUCAUACAAAGUAGAUAUAUUCCCUUUUAUUCUGAACACCCAAGUAUAAAUUUCAGUAUUAACAUCUUUUGGGGUUCGUACUGUGGGUUUGUUCUUUCACGUUCAUUCUCAUCUAUAAUGGAAUUGCCUCAUUCCAUUUUGGCCAAUGAUAUUGUCGACAUUUAAUAAUUGAACGUGUUUCCAAUCAACACAGCCCAUUGAUGAUUUGAGUAGCUACUCCAAAAUCAAAAUUUGUCAUUCAUCAAUUUAUGAUCCCACUAUUCUCAUUUGCAUGCGCAUACAUCAAUUAUAAGCAUUUCUUUGCUUUUGGGUACCCAAGCCACUGCAGGGGGCUUUUAUUAUGUGAGAAUGUGGAUUAUAACCUCCAAUGGAGCGUUAUUUUAUAGUAGAGCGUGGAUAAUCUCCAUUUAGGGAGUUGGAACAUUUAGAACCCAUAUAUCUGUCAUGCUGCAGGCAUGCCACAGAUUAAUACAUACAUGUCAAUUAAUUUAUGGGACUUUAACCCAUACAAUUUGCUACGCAUUAGGCGUGCACAAUAUCAAUAUUGACAUGUCAAAGGAUUGUCCUUUCGGGACUUCAAUCCACAUCAUUUGCUACGCAACAGGCGUGCAUCAUAUUGAUCACUGCUAUAUCCAUAUUCUGUUCUUAUGGGACUUUAAUCUGUGCAGUGUAUUAUCAAUGUAUCCAACUUGCAAUCUGUAAAAUUUGCGUUAAUAAUUCAUGGAUACAUACAAGCCAUUCUUUUGGAACGGACUUAUCUCCCCAUUUGGUUACCUUUCAAGAUAAAAUAUCAAAUAGGUAUAUAAGCAUAAAAUAACACAAGUAUUGCUUACAUCCUUAGGUGGGAGAAACUUUUCUCAAGUAUCAUUCAAGCUCAUAUCGGCCCAGUAAAUAUAAUGUAGCGCUUGAUGAUCUAGUUAUAUCCUGCAAGAGCAAAAAUCACAACUCUUUUGCCUCUGUCAAAACAAAUAACCUUCAUAGUUAGGAUUACUUCAUGGAUUCAUUCUUCAGAUGUUCAUUCUAAAGAAAUAAAAUCUCUUAUGAACAGAGAGUUAUAAAAAGAGAAAAAAUGCAAAAAUAAUGUGAUAUUGAUUGCAAGAGAAGGUAAGCAAUCAAGGAAGGAAGCUGGUGGGAGCAGACAAUAAGCUCUCAUAUCUCCUAGUCUAGAAGGACUUCCGGAGAUUAGAGUAUAAGAUCGCCUUCACAAUUUCCUGAUGUAGCGGAAACGUGAUCAGGGAUAGUCUUGCUUCCUGAAUGGAUGAUCAGAGAUAGUCUUGCUUCUCGGGCAUAUUGAGUGCUCACUGAUAAGAAAAAUAAGUAGAUAUCGCAUCACUAGGUAUGGAGUAAACUGGAUGUCUUCUGCAAAGAAAAUUUCGUUAGUAACACAUUUAUACACAAAUACAAUGAAUAGGUAGAACCGGUGAAUUUCAAAUUAACCAUAGGAAAAUUGCGAGAUUCUCGGGAUACUUUUGAAAAAGUAGCUCCGUGAAAUCCGUAAAGCAAGAUUAGCUUUGACGAAAAUAAUAAUUGAAAACGCCGAAAGUGCCGACAAACAUUAAUGGAGGCCACGUGAAGUUUUGGAAUCUGGGAAAGAAAAAGAGAAUAUGGGGAUCCGAAAAGAUAUUGGGAUCCUGAAAAACAGUAGCCAUAUUUCCUCCUAUAGAUAUUGCCUUUGCAAAACUUGAUUGGAGCAACUGCGUUUCAACUUAACUUCCUUCAUUUUCUGAAACUUUAGUUUUCUUAAGACUUUCUUCGAAACCUUCUUAAAAAUGGCUUCCUCUUCUUCCUGCCCAAAUUAUUUCAAUUUAAAUGAUACUCCCACAACAACCAGUGAUGCCAAAGUUUGGCGUCCAUCCUUUGUAUCCCAAAAUCGUCAUCUCACAGUUAAUGAUUCUGUGAUGAUGAAUGAUGCUACUGCUUCAUAGUAGCUAGGAAUUUCAUGACUCCAAUGGAUGAAAUGCUGUUAACAGGGAGGUCUGAGGAAGAGGCUAUUGAUGACUCAAUGGCUUUUAGCAUUCAGAGUGCUGCUUCUGUUUCUAACAUGGCUGAUCGUUUGCGUGCUAGAGCAAACGAGGUUGAGAGGCUAACAACUGAAAAUUCGUCUCUCCAAAGAAUGCUUCAUGAGUCUCAACAGGAGGUUGAGAAACUUAAAGGAGAGAAUAAUGCCUUGUUGAAACUGGUGAGUUCGUACUCUGUUGAUACACUGAGAAGGCUAGACAUGCUGCAGGUCUCCAAUGAAAGAAUUUUGGGAGACCACGAGAAGCUCAUGGCUAAGCUUAAGAGGCGCCGUCCUCUUCCUUCAGAGGCUUCCAGAACAUAAUGUAAUUUUAUAGAUUUUACAGGGCCUGCACCUUCAUUGCAGGUGGAAAAAAUCUAUCUGUUAUAUGCUCCUUUCCUAUUAUAAUAAUUGCGCACAUUCUUAAACUUACACCUGUGGUUUUUACGUCUUUUUAAAAUGACGGUUUGGAACCUUGUGCCUUAUAGGUUCAAAUAACCACAUUGUCUCUCCCAAAUUUCAUAUUUUAUCGCAUGGUAGCCUGGAACUUUUGGCCUGAGCUAAACACAAACUCAGAAUUUAUUUGCCCUUUUCAAAUGGACAUGAAAUAUGAAUUGAGUAAAAGCCACGAUAAUAUCGCAAUAUAGUAGUGAAGAGCAUUAACUACUAUAUACCCACAACUUCAAGUUCAGGAUCUCUCAUAUAUUUGGAUCCAUGGGCUUCUGGCCCAGAUAUAACAAAAUAUGUGGGGAGCCUCAAUUCAUUAUUUGAGGUUUAUAUUAAUAUUAUCCAUUUCGCGGUGUAUUCUUAACAACCGGAAUUCACAAAAUAUAUUUCUUACUUGAGGUGUCGAUUAUAACAAAAUCGAACUUUAUUAAAUUCAUCAUCUUCUUAUGCCAAAGAAAUAUGUGGCAUACCACAAUUUGCAAUAAUACCUCAAGGGUUGUCCAUUUAAUUGUUGGAACUUCAGGUUCUCAACACUGUUAGAUUUUGAACCUCAAGCCAAAAUCACAUAUUCUUAUGGUAUGGACAUUUUUACAAUUUUCUGUACAUAUUUCUGGACUUCAAGCCCUUAUAUAAUUGUCCAUAUCUUGAGGAACUUCUGGCAUCUCAUUUAAUUGCUCAUCCAUGAGUUUAAGGAACUGCAAGUUCCCUUUUGUAUAUAGUGACGGUUUACCCAAAAUGGUUAAUAUUUAUGCAUACGUCACUAUUCAUGUGAAUAGUACUAUUCAUCAAGUUAUGAAUACGUAUCUAUUCAUGUGUACAGUACAUCUGCCAGUACAGUUAUCAUCCAUGUGUACGGCACUAUGAACCAAUAUGGUACUGUUACAUCAUUAAGGAACUCUAGGUCCUUAUUUACAUGUCAGGGAUCAAGGACCCUUAAGUCCAAUCACAUGUUUACAAAUACAGUACCGGAGAGACUGCCAGCUAUCAUAUUAAUAUCAUCAUCAAGGAUCUUCAAGUCCUGAUGUAAUUGUAUGAUGAGGAUCAAGGAACUUCUGGUCCUGAUCUGCAUACUGUAAAAACUCAUCAUACAACACAAUUAAUCCAUAAAAUAAAUUGCUGGUAAAUAAAUUACUGGUAUGGACGAUAAACCCGCACCAUACUUUAAAUAAAUGUAAAUGUGCGGUAAAAUAAAUUCAUAAAUUAAAUUGCUUGCUGUAUGGACGUUAAUCCCGCACCAUACCUUAAAUAAAAUUAAAUGUGCGGUAAAUUAAAUUCGUAAAGUAAACGUGCUUGUAUGGGCACUAAUUCUGCUCCAUACUUUUAAAUAAAAGUAAAGGCAUGUGCGAUAAACUCGCGCCACCCUUUUAAAUAAAUACUGUCGUAUGGGUAAUAAUCCUACACCAUACAGUAAAUAAAAUAAAUGUGCGGUAAAUUAAAUUUCAUAAAGUAAACGUGCUUGUAUGGGCACUAAAUCUGCUCCAUACUUUUAAAUAAAAGUAAAGGCAUGGGCGAUAAACCCGCGCCACCCUUUUAAAUAAAUACUGUCGUAUGGGUAAUAAUCCUACACCAUACAGUAAAUAAAAUAAAUGUGCGGUAAAUUAAAUUUCAAAAAGUAAACGUGAAUCUGCACAAGUUCCUCCUGUACACCUUUAAUUAAUAUAAUUAUAUAAAAUUAAAAUAAUAGAGAAGAUAAAGGAGCAGAGAUCUUAUCGCUUAUUCUUUCGGUGGGUUUUGCUGUUCUCAUCAAAAGAUGUUUUAGCACUUUUCCUCCUGUUACAGUGAGAUGAAUUGAAACCAGGUCCAGAUUGGCAGAUUCCCUUCCAUGAUUUUGGAAUGGGUCCCAUUCCUUCAUCACUAAAGCUCUUUGAUUCUGGCCAGACACCACUGUCAAGAACCCCAACUAUGAUGUCCUUGCCAAAUCUGGCUUUGGAUAAGAAGUCUCCUCCCAUCUUGUUGCUUGUCCAAUGCCUCUUUUCCUCUUCCAUUAUGCACUACAAUCUUCAACAGUACCAAUGAAGACAUUUUUCAUCUUCUCUCUCCUUCUCCUUCCUCUCUUAGCCUCAUGUGCAGAACGAAAACAGGUCUACAUAGUGUACUUUGGUGAGCACAGUGGAGAAAAAGCUCUACAUGAAAUUGAGGACACACAUCACUCAUAUUUGCUCUCUGUGAAAGAAACAGAAGAAGAAGCCAGAGCUUCUCUGCUUUACAGCUACAAGCACAACAUCGUGCUGAUAACGUGUUGUGAACUAAAGAGAAAUUGGAGAGGAAAUUGAGAUAGAGAAAGUAGAGAAACUGAUUUUCUUCAUUCUGAUUUUUCUGUGUUUCUUUCUAACAAUUAGUAGGCAAAGCCUUCCAACAUGUGGGCCCCUUUUCCAACGUGUGGGCUCCACACCUAAUUAUUUACAACAAACAAUACCCUCUAAAAUGCAUGACAUGUAUUAUGCUUUUGCACAUGUGGCAUCACAUGUUGAUAAGUCCAUAAAUUUACACAUUUAUAUACCCUUUAUAUUUAGUUUUGGUAGGAAAAUUUGAUUUAAAAUAGACUUAUUACUUUAUUUUCUCAAUUUUUAAUCUUCCAGAGCAAGUAAUUUGUUUUCAACAGAAAUAAGUCUUUUUGGUGGAGUUUUAGUACAAGAACAGAUGAAAGCUAAGAUCUUGAGGAUGAUUGUGGAAUUUUUCUAGAAUUUUCGAAGCAGCCAAUAAGAGCAGUCUUUGAAGUUAAGUCAGCAUAAGGUGCAAUCCCAUCAAAACUGUACUGCUGUGGAAGAAUGACUAUUUGAAGACUUUCCUAAUUUUUACUCAAGGCGUACAAUAUAAGAAUGACUAUUGGAAGACUUUCCUAAUUUUUACUCAAGGCGUACGAUAUAUGGCUGGAAAGAUAAGACAAAGACCUACAAUUUGCAUAUUUUUCCCAAAUUUUCUUGGAGGAGGAACAACCCCAAACCUGCAUGUAAAGUAACUGAUGUGUUAUCCCAGUCUAAGUAGGGAGAUGAGUCAAUUACUUACCCAUUUUGGAUUUAUGUUUUAAUUAGGUUUUGCUUUAUUUUUUGGCUGCUGUAAAAGCCCAGCUAGGGUAGGAAUAGAUGUGUGGUGUUUUAUUUAAGCAUGAGAGCAUCAACAGUGGGAGGGCGUAUAAUGAGGUGUAUGUUAAAUAUACACCCUUUGUGAUCGGAAUCACCCGCAAUGGAGAGGUAUAAACGAGUGUAAAUUUGCAUCACCACCAUGAUAUGCAAAUUUAGAUGCACAUGUACAUUUUUUUUUACAUCUCUUGCAAGUGAGACCUACAUGAGAAAAUGUGAGAAAAAAUGGACAAAAGUGGGAUCUAGAGCAGAAAAUGUGAAAGAAAUCAAUUAUACAUAUUUAGAUUUACAUCUUCCCUACUAGAGCAAAAAUUACAUUUACAACCCCAAAAGGUGUAAAGGGGAUAUAAAAGUGGCUUUACAUCCCCAAAAAUACACCAUCCCACUGUGGAUGCUCUAAGAAACAACUCUUUUGGGGGCUAUACACGUAAAGACUAGGAGAAAUUGGAGACGUUGGAAGAAUACCGCAAUUGGCUAAGUUUUGUUGUUUCUUCCUUAUGUUUUUGCUUAUGACGAAUUCUAUGAUUAUGUGUAAGUAAUUUUCUUUUGCUAGGCAUAAUGUAGCCCUAGUAUGAUAAUCUAGUUUUCUUAUUUUACCUAUCUAUUGAUUGCCGUUUGAUGUUGGAUUCUUAAUCACUGUGCUUAAUAACUUGGUUGAUUAUCUUGAUGCUUGAUCACCAUCUAGACUUUUAAUUGAGUUAAUCGGAUGCAAAUUAGAGUAAAUACCAUACUGAAUUUGAGGCUUGCUUCGUGUGAUUAGGAUUUGUAUUUCGUUUAGAGUAAAUACCAUACUCCUAGGGUUUACAUGCUUCUUGGAGGUUUUCACUGAUCUUAAUGAGUUUCUAUGUGUUGAUAUUUGACCUAAAUACCAUAGGCGAAUUGCAUGUAGGAAUAUAUGAGUUAGCCUAAAUACCAUAGGUAAUUCAUGAAGAAGAAAAACUAAGCGGCGACAUCAAUUGGUUAGUUAAUAGGUAGGUGAAUAACUAGAUCAGAUUACUAGUGGUGAAUUCAUUGUCCUAGUGCUUUUAUCAAUUUGAAUUUAUCAUCCUUGUGUUUCGUGACUUUCUACUUUUUUUUGUCUUUUAAUUUCGUUGUUAAAAAUUAAUUAAUUCUUUCAAAAAACCUCUUUUGUGUUUACGUGAGUAUGAUACAUGUUUAUUUUCUUGUUUAUAUAAUUAGAGUAGUUAAAGUAUUUUGUGAAGUAAAUUAGGUUAGACUAAUUGGAAAUUGAACUCAAUCCUCGUGUGAAUGACCUUGUAUUUGCCAUAUAUAUUACGAUUGACCUUGUGCACUUGCCAGUAUAAUUUGUGUUUAGACUAAUCAUUAUAAUCUCUAUUUUUCAGAUUAUCUAAAAUUCACAACACAAGUCAUGCUUAUAAGAAAAACAAUGAGUCUUUCACAAACCACAUCAGUCAAUAAUCUACAUGGAAAUUUGACUUAUUUGAUGCAAACAAAGUAGGACAUGAAAAGUCGACUUAAUGACGAAUUGAAUAAAAAUGACUUUGAAGGAGCAAGUGAGAUUCGUAACAACUUUUGGUGGGCAUUGGAAUAAUGAAGCCCUCUUUUAUAGCAUUAGGCAUAUUACAUAAACUGUAAAUUAGAUCAUGUACUUAAAGCACUUAGUGGAGAAGUACAUGACAUACGUAGUUAGUUAAGUGAAUAUCUAACAAGCAAUCAACAAGAACUUGUAGUUCAAAUGGUUAAGAGAAUUUCUCUAUGCAUCCGAGGUCCUUGGUUUGAUUCUCUUCUCCUACAAUAUCACUCGUCUAAAUAAAAAAAAACCAAAUAAUCAUGAUUUAAUAUAAAAAGAACCAUGUGCUUCUAAUUAAAAAGAAGAAGAAGUAACCAAACCUUGCCAAUGAAGUCUAGUCCGGUGGAAAAGGGCACUGGUUUGCAAACUAGUGGUCUUAAGUUUAAACCCCUAUGACAGUUUUAUGGAGUCUAGCUUAUGUAUGUGAGAAACCCUACUCCCCCUUCCUAACUUUGGCCCAAAAAAAAAAACAUUGAUGAUUGUAAUUUGAUGGAAAAUUUUUGCUUUUGUGUGGUGGUGGCCAACUCACUCAAAUUAUAUUACGGUCCUGUUUGAUUCAUGGAAAAGAUUUAAUGGGAAAUAAUUUCCCAUGUCUUUCCUAAGGGAUGAGAAAUGGACGAUUUCUUUCCCAUAUUUGAUAAUGCUGGGCAAGUAAUCAUAAAAUACCACUUUAUUUCCUUUAACAUGUUUGGUUACAUAGAAAUGUAAAACAAAAUUUGUUUAAUUUUUCAAUAUGAAAUCAAAUAAAAAAAAGAAUGCAUUGAAUGCUAUAUUGUAAUUCUAAAUUAUUAAUGGGAACAAAAUGGACAUGAAAAAUAUGCAUUUAAUGUUGACUCCUUUUCUCACUUUCCCAUGAGGAGGGAAAACAAAAUGGGUCCGAGGGGGGAGGAGUGCUUCACUUUCCCCUCCACUUUCUCAUGUGUGAGGCAACUAUUUCUCAUGCCUGAACUUAUCAAACAUGGAAAAACAAUUGAUUUUCCGUCUUCAAGCCUCCUUUCUCAUGAACCAAACGGAGCCUAAGUGUAUACUCAUUGAUUCUAUAUCCUAAGAUAUAAAAUAGUAACCUCGUUCGUUUUAUAAUGAAAUGAACAAAGUGGUAACACCACCAUCAUCACACCAUUAUUAUUAUGAUUUGGUUAAGUUUAGGGUGAUGUAAUUCAAAACAUUGCACUGGUGGAGAGGGAAAUGAACGUGAAAGGCAGGUAAGACUAGGACAUGUCGUUGCGUUUGUCAUGUAAUGGGUGCGGCGUUCAUGUGGUGGGCCGGCACAGCUGCCUCCUCUUGUUGCUUUCACUGUUUUCUUUCUUUUUAAUUUUUGCACAAAGAAAUUGAAAGAAGCCAAAUGAUUGUCAAUUUGAUUGGCAAUUUUAGCCAAUGCUCUCUCUCUCUCUCUCUCUCUCUCUCUCCACACCGUUUGAUCACGGACCAUAUUCAAACAUGGAAACCAUUUUUAAACGGAACUGUCUUACUGCUUUGCACGUCUUGGAAAAAAAUAAAAAAUGAAAAAACAUUUCAACGCGUUCACUUGUUACAAUGAAAGAGGAUCCAACUUUUGAUAUAAUCUUAUUUUAAUAUAUUAUUUCUACUUUUUCAAAAGUGUAAGAAUGGUUUGAAAUAAUUUGUAACUCAAGUGGUUAAGAGCAUUUAUUCAUGUACUCGAUGUUCUAGGUUUGGUUCCCUCCUCCCUAAUAUCAUGACUCCACAUGCUAUGCUUUUCUUUUUCUAAUUCUUCUUCAACCUUUUCUUUUCGUUAUUAUUCUUCACUCGGUUCUCAAGUUCUCUAUUUUCUCCUACCCAUGAAAGAAAAAUAAAUUAUACCUUUCCUUUUACAAAAAAGAAGAGUUCUUCCGAGAUAGGACCCUUACGACUACUAUAUCCUAGUCAUAUACCCACCUACUUUUAAAUCUUUACUGAAAACCCAAAUUUAAAAUAAGUUGUCAUGUGAGAUAGAUUUGUCCUAAUAUUAUUAACUAAUUACAUUAUAUGCCACCUACCUUCAUAUUUAAUUUAUAAUUUAUUUUCAAGCAUGUCAUUAACUACCUUAAUUAUAAUUAAUACUCCUUAUUAAUAGCAUACUAGCCCCUUGGCACAUCGCGAUUGGUUUUCUUUUUAUUUUUUAUUUUUUUAUUUUUAGAAUUAAGAAAAGAUAACACGGGUAGUUAUGUUCCAUAAAAGUAGGAUCUAUUAUCUUAUUUUGUUUUUCAUUUUAAUUUUUUAAUAUAAAAAAAUAUGAAUUUACCAUAUUAUCCUCAUUUAAUUAAUAAUGUCAAUUCUUAAUGUUUGAAUUAACCAAGGGCAUUUUCUGGUAUUUUGAAUGUUUCACCAUUCUCUGCCUUUUGCUUUAUAUAUAUAGGUAAAUCACCCCAUUUAUUUUGGUUGGCAUUCCCUCUACACAUCGCCAAUGCCUAAAAUAAACAAACAAAAAAAUUCCUAAAUUACAUAUCCAAUAAAUAAUGUACCUAUAUAAAAAAAAAUUAUAAAUAUGUAUAUAAUAUAGGUACUUUAUUUAUAUAUUAAAAGGAUCCGUUACUUUGUAAUUGAAAUUUAUGUAAAUGUUUUUAUAAAUUAAAAAUAAGUACAUUAUUUACCAAAAAAAAAAAAGGGUUUUUUUUUUCAAAAAAAAAAGGUAUGUUGUGUAAUUGAAAUUUCUACACAUUUUUCAUAAAUUAAAAAUAGGUAUGUUAUUUAUAGGUACACAAAAUAAAUAUAUUUACAAAAGAUAUGUAAAAAAUAGGUAUAUUAUUCAUUAAAAAAAAGGGUGGAAAAAUUAGGUACAAAUAAUAGGUACAUUAUUUUAGAGUACUGUUAAAUGAACCCUAAAAUUAACUAAGUACACCAUAAUAUUUUAAUCAAAAUAUAAAAUUAACUAAGCACACCCUAUGUAACUACCAAAAAUACACUUGGUACACCCUAAGACACUUUAUCACACAAAGUAAAGAAUCAAAAUCGAAGGCCUUUGGAAAAAGAGAAACGUAUCCCACCAAUAGUCGGUUCCUCUCGCAACCACAAAGUGAAAGAAACCAAAUGCCAAAGUGUUUCAUUCAGCUAAUAGAUUGUAUACCUCAAACGCCAAAGUCUUACCUGCACAAAAACCACAAAAUUAACUGAACCAAACAAAAUAUCACCUCAAUUGCAACCACAACCACGUCUCUACAAAAUCAUCUUCAUGUUUCUUGUACAACAUCAUUAGUAUCCUUGUCUUUAUUUUCAAUAUGUUUCCAACCAUCAUCUACAAUAAGGAAUCGCAGAGGCAAGACAAUAAUUCAAGUUAUAGUAGAUAAAUAGAACAGAGAAAUUCAAUUUGGAACAAAAAGUGAUGGAUUGCAGUUAAGGAAAAUUCAAUUUGGAGGGGGGAGGAAAUCUUUCCAUUACCUUCUGAAAAUCCAAUAGAGAAUAGGAUAGCUUUUCAAAAUCAGCAGCGCAGAGCAGGACUUCUAUAAGCUCUAUAUGCGUUUUUGCUAGUUUCACCCAUCUCUCUCUUUAGUUUCUUUGUUUUUGAGUGUUAGUGCAUGCCUCCCCCCUCUGGUCUGUGGUGCUAGUUGUUUGGGACUCAAGUAUGGGGAACUCAGUAUGACAGGCUAGAGAAAACGGCAAACCGAAUAAGGCCGGCUAAAAAGAGAAAAUUGAUGCAGCAGUCUGAACAAAGUAAACCUUCAACCAGAGAUUAUCAACUGUGAUGAGGAAAGCCGCUCAUCUUGCUAAGCUCUGCAAAGCUCAAGUGUGUAUGGUUGCUUAUAAUGGGCCAAAUGCCAAAGUUAAGGUCUGGCCAGAAGAUCAAGACAUGGCCAAAGCCAUAAUCUGCUAGUACAAAGAAGCAGUUCUCAAGUACAAAGGCAUGCCCAAAAUUCAAAAGGUUAACCUCUGUGGGUUGGGGGAAAGGAUGAUAAAGGAGCUCGAACAAAAGAUGGGGGCUGAUGACAAGGAAUUGGACAAGUUAUCUGGGGAGUCACUGAUAAGCUUAUCGACUUUCUUGGAGAGCAAGUUACAAAAAUUGGAUGAUACAAAGAAAACCUAUUGCUGAUAUGAUGGAGAGAAGAAUGUUGGGCAGAACAUGAAAAAUUGUGAUUACUUGCUUCACAAGGAACUACACCAGCCAUUAAUCCCUCAUGUGUUCAAUGCAAGCUACUCAAACAAUGGAACUUGGCCAUGGAAAAAUUAUGAACUUCAUGAUAAUAGUUUUUAACUUGGCUUUGCAAAUUGCUCCAACAAUGGCACCAUGACAGGGUUAGCUGAACAAAAUUGUGUCAGCUGGCACAAGUGAUUAUUUUAGUUCAACUGGUGAAUGGGGAUGCAGUCUCAGGUUUUGGUACCGCAGAAAACGUUGCUUUGAUGGAAUCGGAGAAGUGGAGAAACAAUUUUGCACCAACAUAAAUCAAUAGCAUUGAGCAGAAAGCUUUGGUCAUAUGGUGACACGAAACGGGUGAAUUAUAAUCUUGUUCCUCAGCAGUUUAUGGAGGCUGCUCAACCAUCCUUACUUGAUGAGGCAUUGCCAAUUUCAUUCUGGUCAAACCCUCUGCAAUUUUACAUGAAUUAGUUUUGUCACAGGCUCAGGAAUUUAUAGAGUUUAGUCACAACCGAACCAAUUGCCACAAACUAAUAAAUCUUUAUAGUUUAGUCAUUUAGUUCGGUUUCAGUAAGGCUAUAUAUCUAUACAGUAUAUACAGAGAGCUUCUAUUGAGGGAUCUUCAAAUAAAUUUAUUUGAGGGACACCCUUGUAGGGUCCAAUCCACAUUGUAUUUCAUUAAUCCAAACUGUCGAUUUUUUAGAUAAUCAUUCAAAGAUCAUCUCUACAAAAAAUCACUUGAAUCCGAUAUCAUUUGACCACUCAAUUGAGUUAUUGAAAUUUUAGUACUUUCUUAAAGCACCGUGUUCAUGGAUUUUGUAGGACACAAUUGGAUGUCGAAACUGUUUCCAAUUUGUCUAAUUUUUUGCAAGGAAGAUCUAUAAAUGUAGACUUAAAAAAUAGAUAGUUUGGAUUGUUGAAAAAAAAUAUUUGUAAAGCACCCAAAAGGGUGUUCCUCAAAUAAAAUUAUUAGAAGGAUCCAUAUAUAUAUAUAUAUAUAUGUCUGUAUGUAUUUGUUCCAUUUGUUUUUCCCUUGUGGAGUUGGCUAGAAGCAAGAGGAAGUCUCUUGCCAAAGUGCCUUAAUAAAAACAGCCCCAAAAUAAGCAAGAACAACCAUAAAUCUGAUAUCAAAGAAACACAAAGGAAGCUUACAAGUAAGCUCUUUCUCUGACUCAAUUAUUUAUUUAUACACACAUACAUGAUUAAGAAAAUAGUGAUAUAAGCAUACAAAAUAUAUAUAUAUAUAUAAUAUGUAUAAAAAAUAGGUUCUGAUAUACCAGAGGCCCAUAUGAUUAGUAGAGAGCACCCUAGCUAUCCUCCCGAAAACGACGUUUGAUCUACAGAAGCAUAGCAGUAGUGAAGCAUUUGCAUUGCAUAGAUUGCAAUUUGCAAGAACUAUAUGACUUGGAUGACAAAGAGAACCUUUGGGCGGUGCCAAAUUCUUAAAGCUUUUACUUUGCCUUGAAGGUAAAGCUUAGCAGGGCUUAUAGCUCUGCAUUUGGGGUUUCGGUUUGGUUGGUGCAUAUAUAAAAAAAAAUGUACCUUUCAAAUAUGAGGUUUCUGAAAUCUUCUCCUUUGCCCACUUUAAAAAUAUGAGGUUUCUGAAAUCCUGUCCUUGGUUUAGCAAUCCCAGCCUUUAAGUCAGUCAAAGGCAAUGCGAAGUCCUUAUCAGUAUUUUGCUUACAAGGUUUCAUGUACAACCCCUUCACAAUUCCUACCUAAUUAAUGAGCCACACAACUCCUUGAACAAACUAAAAAGAAAUGCGCAUAUUUGCCUCUACACAUUCAUAUAAAUAUUUGGCAUCUUCGUCUUCGUCCCUCAUUGCCUCAUUGCCUCAUCACAUAAGCACACCACAAGUGAAACUGUGAUCACCAGGGAGGAAAAAAUGGCUAGCAGUUGCCGGAACAGACUCUUCUCUGGGUUGCUGUUUCUUUGCUGUGGGUUUCUGGGCUUUAUCACUUCUCCAGCAGAAGCUGCCAUAAAGAAAUACCAAUUUGAUGUGAGUUGUUUCAAAUGCUUUAAUAUCAUUUACAUGCACAGACAGCCUUGAAACAACAAAUUGAAAAAUGAAAAAGGAAGAAGAAAAAAGAAAGCAAAAAGUUGUACUUCGUGCAUGGAUUUCCAGUUAAUAACAUCCUCUGUGUUCUCACAGGUCCAAGUGAACAAUGUGAGUAGAUUGUGCCAUGCAAAGCCCAUUGUUACUAUAAAUGGAAGGUUUCCAGGGCCUACAGUCUAUGUCAGGGAAGGAGACAGAGUUCUCAUCAAUGUUACCAACCAUGCUCAAUACAACAUGUCAAUUCACUGGUAAGAGUUAAACUAAAUUAACCAAAUUAACAAACAAGUGAUCAAAUCAAAAUUAGGUAAAUAUAGCAAAAUGUCAUAACUUAUAGCUGAUUGAGUUAUAUAUGUUCUUACAGGCAUGGACUGAAGCAAUAUCGAAACGGUUGGGCAGACGGACCAGCUUAUGUAACACAAUGUCCAAUUCAGACUGGAAGUAGCUACACUUAUGACUUUAAUGUAACAGGCCAGAGAGGAACUCUAUGGUGGCAUGCACACAUUCUUUGGCUGAGGGCUACUGUCUAUGGUGCAAUUGUCAUCCUGCCUAAACCAGGCACCCCGUUUCCCUUCCCACAACCAUACAGGGAAGCUGAAAUUAUACUCGGAGAAUGGUGGAAUGGCAAUGUGGAAGAGUUUGUCAACAAAGCAAACAACUUGGGAUUGCCACCAAACUCCUCGGAUGCACACACAAUCAAUGGGAAGCCAGGGCCAUUGUUUCCUUGCUCUGAGAAACGUAAGCACAACAUAAUCACAGAAAAUACAAGUACAUGACAUUUUGGGAUUGAGUCCAAACCCGAAAGGUGGUUGCCCUGCAAUUUUCAUAAAGUUCUAAUUUCAAUUUUGUUCUGUAUUUCUUGUUUUAGAUACUUUUUCUAUGGAGGCUGAGCAAGGGAAGACCUAUCUCCUGAGGAUUAUCAAUGCUGCUCUCAACGAUGAACUUUUCUUCGGCAUUGCCGGUCACAACUUGACAGUGGUAGAGGUUGAUGCAGUGUACACAAAACCAUUCACUACUGAAGCCAUACUAAUUGCACCUGGCCAGACCACAAAUGUUUUGGUCCAAGCCAAUCAAGCUUCAGGCAGAUACUUCAUGGCUGCUAGGCCUUUCAUGGAUGCUCCAGUUGCCAUAGACAACAAGACAGCCACAGGAAUAUUCCAAUACAGAGGCAUCCCCAACACAGUUCUACCAAGCCUUCCUCAACUGCCUGCCUCUAAUGACACGGCCUUUGCUCUAAGCUACAACAAGAAACUCAAGAGCUUAAACACCCCAAAUUUUCCAGCAAAUGUUCCUCUCAAAGUUGACAGAAAGCUCUUUUACAUCAUUGGUUUUGGAAAAGAAUCAUGCCCAACUUGCCUUAAUGGAACAAGAUUUGUUGCUUCCUUGAACAACAUCUCUUUUGAGAUGCCUCAGGUUGGGCUUCUCCAAGCCCAUUACUUCAAUCUCAAAGGGGUGUUUAAAACUGACUUCCCUGAUAGGCCCCAAACUCCUUUCAAUUACACUGGUGCACCACUUACUGCCAAUCUUGGGACUUCCACAGGGACUAGGCUGAGCAAGAUUGCCUUCAACUCUACAGUUGAGCUGGUGUUGCAGGACACUAAUCUUCUAACGGUUGAGUCACAUCCCUUCCAUCUCCAUGGAUACAACUUCUUUGUUGUUGGAACCGGGAUUGGGAAUUUUGAUCCUGCCAAGGACCCUGCUAAAUACAACUUGGUUGAUCCUGUUGAGAGAAACACAGUUGGAGUUCCCACAGGUGGUUGGACCGCCAUUCGUUUUAGAGCUGAUAAUCCAGGUAUGAUAAUAAUUGCAACAUUCAUUUCGAGUAAUGUUACAUGUACCACAUUUACUGACGAUAGUGGAAAAAAAAAAAAAAAACUAUCAUAUCUAUCAUAGAGGUAGAAGUUAGAAUUCACUCAUAUAUAAUAAUGACAGGCUUGAGGUUUAUUUACUUAUAAGCUUUGCUUCCUUGUUUGAAUGUCUAGGCGUUUGGUUCAUGCACUGUCAUUUGGAGCUUCAUACCGGGUGGGGAUUGAAAACCGCAUUCGUUGUAGAAGAUGGACCAGGAUCAGAUCACUCUGUUCUGCCUCCGCCUAAGGAUCUUCCGCCAUGCUAAUGACGCGUGGACUGUGUUCGUAUCAAUCUGCUUACUUACACUUCUUGCAAAAGUUGCAGAAGCUAGGUUUCUUGAGGGUUACAAACAAUUAUGAAAGGGAAAAAGAAUCAAUUUGUGUGACACUGAAAAUGUAAUAAAUUAAACCAUGCUAUGUAACAAUUGUUUUCUUUCAUCAUAUUUCUUCUGAUUAAUACUGGAAAUAAUUUAUAUAACCACAUCCUGUGCAUUUCCACUUUUUUGAAUGCUGAUCAUAACCUGAAAACAGUUGAAGCUUUACAAAAAUCUGGAGAUAGCAGACAUAAGAACGCUCCGAAGACUCGCAGGAUCAAAUUUUUCAUCAAAUUAUAUUCUUCAUCCAAUCACAACAUAAAGAUGCUACGUUCUUACUUAUUUAACCAACAUAUAUAUGUUUUCUAAAAUUAAAUAAAUAAAUUUGGAAAAAAAAAUUAAAUAAAUAAAAACCAACAUAUGUAAACUUGAUGGAUAAAACGCAACCAAUUACGGAGCAGCAUCCGUGUUUAAGGGAGAACUAACAUAAUAUAUAUUAAAAUGGCUUUCCUUCACCCAGAUCACAUAUGGAGGACUAGUUAUACAUUUUAGCCAAAUUAAAGGGCAACACUCAUUAAACCAAAAGAUAAAAAGUCAAUUACACCUUGAAAAGAAAAAGAAAAAAAGAAAAAAAGAAAAGAAAGAGGGCAAGUCUAAUGGUGGUCUGUUCGUAUAUGGGGCUCUAAAAUUGGUGGAGAGAGAGCCCAACGGCAAUCUUUGUUAUAGAGGGAUAUAAGAUGGCUCAUGUAAAUGGUAGAGGUAGAGGAAUUUUGACAGAAAUUGAGAUGUGUGCUUGAAUUGCUCAAAAUUGAAACUGAAAGGAUAAAAUUGACAAAAUUGAAACUAAACGGAUUAAAGUGGUAAAACCGACAAACUACAAGGACUAAAAGUAAACUUUUGCCAAAAAAUUAACACCAAAUUUAUAUCCGUACAACUAAAUGCUGAAAGAGGUACCAACUAAUUCUUUGAUCUCGUGAUAUUUUCUCUUCAAAAUGUUGAAAGAGGUAUCAAAUUCGAAUCCCAAGCCAACCGUGGUUUAACGGGACUGUAGCCAUACUUGUGUGAUUUAUUCAAUAUCAUUAUUUCGUAAGUAUCAAGAGCUAGAAUUUGUUUAAAUGUUGAGUAGUCACUAACUAGCUAUUGAUGUAAAAAUUACUCGUGUUGAUGCAAAAAAAUGGUUCGGUACUUUUGGGCUCAACUUAGUUAUAUAUUGGGCCUUCGGAAUGCUCUGGACCUUGGUAGACCGAUUGAUUUGCAAAAUGAGAACGCUCGGUAAGACCUAAGACACCGGUGUGGUAUCGGCUGAAGGCUCUCCGAUGCUUAAGUAAGUACAGAGUGAAUAAUGAUCUGGACGGAGUAAUGGUUAAGUAUGCCAAAAGUUCCAGUUACCUCCAUUUUGGGACUUGUGCUUCUUUUUAUAAGUCUUGGGAGGUGUUCAUGUUGUGUAGAAUUUCGAUGUGGGACUGUAGAUAUUCAUUGUGGAUGCUCCACAUGUCAGAAGGUAUUUGUGUUCUGGUAUUGCGCUCGGCAGUCGCGAGGUGCCAAAUGUGGCCUUACCGUAUCCAUCUGUGGUCCACAUGUCACUUCCUUAGAGGUCUGCCAAUUGUGGGAUAAACAGGAGUCCCCCCAAGUUCCCAAUUGAGAGAGCUUCUUAGUUGGGGACUUUCUUUUAUCUUCAGUGCCUCUGGCUUGCAGAAGGUAUGACCGAUUGUUCCGUUUGUUCGCAUGGUACCGUUCAGUGACCUUGUAGGGGCCGAGUAGCCUAGGCCUCUCUUGGGAGGUAUGGUCUCUUUAUGUGAGGCAUCCUCUAGCUUUUCCAAGGUCAUCAAGUUUCGUUGUACCAUUCAGUAGCCAUGUCCUUUCGAAUGGCAUAGCCUGGCUUGUUGAUGUGUAUGUUCCGAUAGCAUCGUUGUCGCUUGAGCUUCUGUAUGUGGCGUGCACGUUGGGAAGUGGAAUCAACUACACAGGACGACGCUUAGUCUUCUGCGCCCAGCGUGCAGACUGCCUCCACGUGUGAUUGGUGCCACGUGUCAGACUGCCUCCGCGUGUUUUAAUAAUGAUAUAUCAUUUGUGUCCUUACAUAACCCGUAGUUCGAGAUUACAAAUGAUAAUGCAAAUUCAAAGCUUUAAAUGAAUUCGAAAAUUAACUGAGUACAUCAUAUGAUCUAAGUACACUUUAAUAUUUUAAUCAAAAUUAAUUAAGUACACUCUAUUAAACUAUCAAAAAUACCCAUAGUACUGCCUAAUACACUCUAUCAGACAACACCAAAUUCAGAUGAUGAUGAUAAUAGAUAGGUCAAUUAAAUUAAAGUCCCAUUUUAGGAAAUGAACUCCACUAAAACUAAAAGAUAGGUCAUAAAUAUAACCCAGAUGAUGAUGAUUCUUCUUAAAUUUUUUUAGCAAAAAAGUUUUAAUGCUAUCACGAGAAGACCGUGGUGGUAUUGCUACUUUUCUCUUUUUAAGAGGAUCCACAAUGGGCUCUAAUAAGGUCAUAAUUUCACACAUUUGCAUGCCUUCUUUGCUUAGUAAUUUUGUUUAGCUUCUCUUUAUUUUGAGUCUCUUACCUAUAUUUGUGUGUUUUGUAGGUUAAGACAGCAAGGGGAUGACAUUUGAUACAAUUCAUGCAUGUUAAGGGCUGAGUGGCACAAGAGGAAUAUGAGCUUAAAGAUAAAACCAAUUUGAGCCACACUCCUUGUCAGUCCAGUUUCGUAGGUCAUCGUGCAGACCUCAUUUCAGCAACUUACACAGGUUGGAUGAGGAGACAUCCUUGAUAGAAGUUGUUCCAAUGGGUGUUUAUUAUAACAUAUCCAAAUUUCAGCCCAAUUGUAUAAAUCUGGAGCCCUCAACACGUCAAGGAUUGAACCCAAGUUCACAGAAAUGUCAUGUUGGCUGCCAUCACAUUUAAUGUGGCUACAAUCCCUAGAGCCAUAUGCUACACAUGGGCAGCCAUACAUGGGAGUCAAAUCAGCUCAGAAGCUCAGAAAGAUGAACAAAAGUCAAGCUUUCCAUAAAGAAACCAUACCAAAGCAUGUAUUUGGCAGCUAGAGCAGUUGGCAGUAUGUCAGCUAGAGCAGUUGGCAAGUAUGGGCAGCUGGAGCAGUUGGGAGCAGCUAAGAGAGGUGUGCUUCAGCAGCCAAAGGGGAGGACGAAAUUGCACUCUAUAAAUAGAGAGCUGCACACUCAUUCAAGAGAGGGGGUCAGACACACACAUUCACUUCAUCCAUUACUCUCAUACACACAUUCAGAUUCACCACAAAGAGAGAAGGGAGCUUGGAGCUGUCAAGGGAGCUUGGAGAUGUCCUGGGAACUUCCUUGCUGCCAUCAUCUAGUUCUUCUCCUCUCUUUAUCCUAUCUAUGUAUUUCUUAUUUUCUAUAUUCAUAGUUAUGUCUAACUAAUCCAUUUAGUUAGGGCUUAGGAUGAAUCCCUAGUCAUGAAUAUUCAAUGUUAUGGAUGAUUUUAUAGUUAAUUGAUUUCCUUGCUUUUGUUAUCAAGUUGUUAAUCUCUAGUUUAUUAUGUGCUUGAUGUAUGUUUUCUUGGAGUAGCUAACUAGGAUUUUAUGCAUCUAGCACAGGUUGGGAAGGGGUUUAGAUUCACCAAUUCUACUUUCCUUUCACAAGCAACACAUGAAUGGCCUAAGAAUCAUUCAAGGGGUUAAUAACCAUAGGUUGACUAGGACAGAUACCAUGUUCUAGGACUUGUGUAAUUAUCAUAUUCUCAAGGAGCUUAAUGACUCUUGUAUGCUUUAUUCUAAGUAGAUACCAUGCUUAGGUUGCAUAUUAGAGAUCACGUGUUGUGUAGAUACCAUGCAUAAUCACAUGCCUUAGGAGAAUCAUGCAUCCUGCACCUAGAUACCAUAGGCUUGUAUGCGAUAAUCUAUUGUUGAUGAAACUUGAGUCAACUUCUAUGCAUUCAUAACUUGGAUAGGAAAACUAGUGGUGGAUUCCAAGGCUCUAACACCUCUCAAUCAUUGUUUCACAACUUGUUGAUUGCAGCCAGUGUUUACUUUCGAGCACUUUCAUUUCACUUUCUUCUUUUCCUUUCAACAACAAAACCCCUCAUUUCGAGUGCGUGUGUGGUGCUAGGAUUCUGUCCUAGACCUUGAGUAAUUAGCAAGAGGCAUUGUUGAAUUCGACCUUGCCUUUAGCUAGUUAGUCAGUUUCUUUGUUCUAAGUUUUUCUAGCAUUCUAAGUAAUUUAACUUGGAACCAAGUUACCAUUCUCCGUGGGAUCGACCUCGUAUUUACAUAAGCUAUACUAUAAACGGUUCGUGCACUUGCGAGAAUUAAAGUUGUUGUUUUUAAUAACUCAUUUUAGUUGUUAAGAAUUGGCUCAACAGGCUCCCUUUUUUUUUUUUGAGAAAUUCUAUGAUUGCAUUCAUAAUUCAGCCAAAAAAGCCACUAGCCACAAGGGGCCAAUACAAACUAGCCACAAAAGGGUCAUUACAAUAACGGAGCGGUCUAAUAUCAAAAUUAAGACAAUAUGGUGUGUCUCCACUAACGAUCAGGCACGAUCGAAGAAACUCUGGCAUAGGCAUCCCAACUAAGAUUGCAAACUUAGAAUAAUAAAAAAUAGAUAAAGCUUGAAAAACCAAGUUAUAACAAUACAAAUAAAACUCUCACAAAGGAGAGAUGAAAAGCUCUCAUAAAGGAGAGAUGGAAAACUCUCACAAAAGGAGAGGUGAAAACUACACAGAGAACCCAAAGAGUCUUUGCAACUUAUUCCAAACAUAAAGAAAUUGCAAAAAAGAUGGUGGUGGAGAUCCGACGCCGAAAUGCAGGUGAAGAUCCGACGCUUAACCGCAGCCGCCUAUAAUGGUUAGAUGAAAAUCAUAACAAAACUAAGACAAAUAGGGAAAACUUUUUGUCUCUGAAAAUGGGGGAAGAGGUGAAAGGAGGAAGAGAAGAGAUGAGGGGGGGAAGAACAAUGGCUUCCUCCUCCCUGCUACUUUAUUUAAUGAGUAUUUCAAACAUUUAAUUAAUGCUAACUAUUUUUUAUGUUAUUUUUUAAUAGAGAUGGACCAAUUAAAAAAUAGUUAUAGCAUUUAUGACUCCCUAAACUAAAGAGCAUGAUUGAAGUUUAAAUUUUAUAGAAAGCUCAUAAUAUAACUUUUAUAUGUUUUAGCUAAAGGCUUUUUAUUACAAAACGUCCCUGACAUUUACGAAACUAUCAGAUUGCAUCCUUAAAGUUUUUUUGUAUCACUCAUGGUCCCUAACGUUAAUAUAGGUGCUCUUAAAUAGUCACUCUGUAAAAAAAAUGCUAAAUUCAGGGAUAUAAUCAUCAAAUCAAUCCUAAAUUAUAAAAUAUAUAUAUAUUUGUAUUUCCUUCCCUUCUCUCUUUCUUUCUUCUUCUUCUUUCACUCUUUCCUUUUUUCUUCUUCUUUCUUUUCUUCUUCUUCUUUCUCUCCGCUAGUAGUUUAAAAUAUGAGAGUGGUUAAUGGCCUUUUUUUUCGUGGGGUUCCAAUAAUAAAUAGAAUGUAAAACAAGGGUAUUGGCCUUGUUGUAUAAAAGAAAAGAAAAGAAAAGAAAAAGUGGUUUCUAGCUUAGCUCCUGCAAUGGAGGUGUGGGUGGUAGGUUGCCUCCCAGGGCAGGGUUGAAUAAUGGAAGUGUUUAUGUCUCUAGGAUCAUGCCUCACAACAAACGGCCGUUUAUCUCCUCUAGCAUAAAAACCAAAUAAAAAGAAAAUUGCAUUAAAAGAAGGAAAACAAAUAAAAAAAUAAUGGUCAAACCGCAUCUAUAUACAUCAAAUAGUCCCAUGUGAGAUACCCAGAGAAGAGAUAAGGAAUGAGAGAAAGAAGAAGAAGAAAGGAAAGACAGAAAGAAGAAGAAAGAAAGAUAGAAGGGAAGGAAACAAAAAUAUAUAUAUAUAUAUAUUAUAAUUUUGGAUUGAUUUGACCAUUAUAUCCCUAGAUUUAACAAUUUUUUUGACAGAGGGACUAUUUAAGAGCACCCAUAUUAACGUUAGGGACCAUGAGUAAUACAAAAAAACGUUAAGGAUGCAAUCUGAUAGUUUCAUAAACGUCAGGGACGUUUUGUGAAAAAAGCCUUAGCUAAAAUUUAACUGAAAAAUAGAGUAUGAUUGUGGAUGCUCUUAUGGUAUGAAUAGAAAAAGUCACUGAAUUCAAAACGUAUAUGAUUUGUUUCAUCAAAUUCCAUUCAGGCUUUAUAUGUGGGUGUUUUUUUUUAUCGAAUGAUGAAAUUUCAUUACAAAAAAACUCAACCAAGAGGAUGGUACAAAUACAGAAUACAAGGAAGUACAAAUCUAAUCUGUAAUAUCAGAUGAAUGGAAGCAAUAGAUUACCCUAGAUAAUGAUAUCAAUAGAUAUAAAAAUUGAUAAAAACUAACAAAAUUAAAAACAACAUAGCAACAAAAACCACAUAAAAGCACCAGCACCACCAAACAUGUGACACUCCGACUCAAUUUUUAAUCAUUUAUUUAAUUUAUUCAAAUUAUUUAAUUGUGAAAUUAUAAUUUUGCCCUUGGGUCAUUUUGGUCACUUUUUAAUCCGGUAGAAUUUUGGGGCAUCGAACCGCUCUAUUGUGUAGCGCUCGUCGAUACGAGUUCAUAGACAUGAGUGGGCUCAAAUCAGAGUUUUAACGAAGAAGUUACGGUCAACGGAAGUGCAGUGGCACAACCGUAAAUAUUUCAAAGUCGGACUUUUAAAUAACCAGAUCAGCUUUUUUUUUUCUCUCUCUCUGUCUCUCUGUCUCUCUGUCACACAGCCACAUUUUUCUAACGCUGAUUCGGCUUCGUCCGGCCACCGUUUCCGACGAAACGACUUGCAAAAUCUUCCUCUCCUCCUCCUCUACUUGAUCUGACCCACCCAAUUUCUCCGAUCAAAAACCAGCGUAUAGCCAGCAGGAGCUCGAAGGAAACUCUGGUUUUCUUCAAAACUUUUCGGCAUCGUUUCCGACUACUCUGGCGAUGGAAUUUGCCAAUCCUAGUAUGUUUUCUCACCCUUUCAACGUGAUCUAGCUGAUGGUUGGGUUGGUUAUGAUCGAUUUCGAAGUUUUGAAGCUCAAAUUAGAACCUAAGUUUUGUUGGUUUUUGGCUUGAUUUUCCGGUAAGCUCCGGCCACUUUUUGGCCGUGGUCCAAGAACAAAAGUUGUUCCCCUAGUUGUCACAAAUACGUAGGUAUAGGUAUUGUCCGGUGUUUCAAGAAUUUUUCAGUCGCUGGAAUUUUUUCAAGACACCCACGUGCAGCCGGCACAUGGGCCAUGGUGUGGAGGCAUUUUGUCCUAAAAUGUUCCUCAAGUCGUCCUGAGCACGACGGUAUGCUCGGAUUCGAAUUUGGUUACCGUUUGACGGUCGAACGGAUUUACGCAUAUUAGGCAAUAUCCGGAUUUGAUAUGUUCGGACCUUUGGAUCAGCUCCAUUUCCAAGAAUGUUGAUCUAGGUACCACUAGGAUCGUGUAGGAACUCACGGAUCGAGAAUUGGAGUCGCAGAUACUCCGAAUUAAUGAUUCAAAUAUUACGUAAAACGGUGAUCGUCUGAUCAUGCGAUUGAGAGCGAUCCGACCGCUCGAUCGAGGCCAAAAUUGCAAAAUGGGUUUAGUAGGCUUUGUUGAACUCAUAGGAACUUUCGAAUCAGAAAUCGGAAGUCACAGCCCCCAUGGACUCAGUUGACCAAAAACGAGGAGUUUGACCAACUAUUGACCACGGGCCUUUUAUGACCGUCUCAUCCUUUGGGAAGGUACUAGAAUGACUUUGGGACUUUUCUAAGGUUGUGCAUACACAUUAAGUUUCUAGGAAUUAUGGGUUUGGGUGUAUGUUUUGGUUGUGGCCUUACUGUACCAAAUAGUAUUACUGGAGUUGUUUGCCAAUGUUAAAUACGUGAGAUUUUGAAUGAUGGUUAUGGCGUAUUGUUAAAAACUUGGACUUGUUUUGAUGUUGUGAUAUUAGUGUAGUAGUGAUAUUGGUGGGAAACUAACUUGUUUGAUAAUUGAUAUUUUGGUUAAUGAGGUUUUACAAACAUGCUAUCGGUUCGAUUUCGGUCUUUACCAUGCGACACGAGAUUUUCCGUUUAUAUAUUAUUAUUAUUAUUAUUAUUAUUAUUAUUAUUAUUAUUAUUAUUAUUAUUAUUAUCGUUUAUUUUAAUGAUUGUUAUUAUAAUUCACUUAUGGCUUGAUAGAGGGGUUUAGUGUCAGUAAGGAUCUAAUUAAAUGUCGAUUAUAUGUUUACAUUCAAAUAUAUGUCUAUGUGUUUGAGUUAUAGGUACACUGGAUAUUGAUCCAGGUUUUAAAAGGUUGUCUUGGAAAGUGAAUAAUAAUGGUUAUGAAUUCUGGUUUGUGAAUGGUGUAUUAUACAUAUUUGAAUGUAGUUUGAGAACAAUUUUGGAAGAUUAUGCAUGGUCAAAUUCAAGUUAAAGAAUGUUGAAAUUGAUCUCGUUUUAAGAGGGGGAUUUUUGGGUGAUCUGUUUAAGAACUGAUCUUUGUGAAAGUGGAUUUAUUGGAAAAAAGAGGAAUUUUAUGGUAAGUUUCGGAAAAUGGUUUUCAAACCCACCACAGGAGUAAACCCCCCAGUUGCCUUCAGAAUAGUCUAGUCAUUUAUGACAAUGCCCCACGAGACUCGAGGACACCUGAAUAGUGUAGUUUGAGGAUUUGCGUUCUCAGGUUGAUUAUAUCUUCUUGAGUCUUGCGAGGAGAUUUGACAGAUAUGCGUUUCGGGCUAAUCACUCGAUUCUGCGAGGAUAUGCAUUCUCGGGUUGACUAUGUGUCCCCCGAGUUUUGCGAGGAUAUACUUUCUCGGGCUGACCAUGUGUUCCCUGAGUUCUGCGAGGAUGUAACAUAUAUGGUAUUUGGAAUUGACGGAUUAUGAUUGGGGGUACGCCUAGGUGGAAAGUAUUUGAGUUUUGGGAUGUUUUAAACAAAAAUUGAUAAUUUUAUCUUGGUACUUAUUGGUGAAAGUUUUAAUACAUGUUUUCAAAUUUAUGAGACAAAGAUUGAGAGUUUCUAAGAUUUAAGGAUUUAAUACAAUUCACAACUAUUUUUCUAAAUGAUGAGUUUGUUUUUACAUUUGAAAGAUUGAAACAUGUUUUAUUCAAACCGUUGAUAUUGAUAUUAAGGUUUCACGUGGCCAAUGUUAUUUUAAUAUUUUUCUCGUUUUUCCACUUAUCGGUAAUGAGCUAUUAUAUAUAUGUAUUUUUAUCUGCACAUAUGUGAUGGGUGGAAGGUUGUUCUAAAAUCAAUAUCUUUUGCUUAAGUUUUAGUGGAUUGAUUAGAGUUUUGAGCUUUUGGUUUUAGGAAAGGGUAAAGGAAUAUUUAAUUCGUGUGCUCACUUAUGGGUUGAACCUUAUUUUCUUGUAUAAAGAACUACGUGUGGCUUGAUUCCUCAGUAAGGGUAUGUAGGCAACCUAGACUAACCUAGGUGCAGCCGCAAGUUUAUUGAUUGGUUUGCUUUGGUCGGCUUUGUUAAGUUGAAUUUGAUGAACACUUGAGAAAUUAUUUGAGUUUACUGUGCAUGUAGAUUUCUGGGUUUGAGCAUUUUUCAAGGGAGAGUCUACUGGUUUUCCGGUAGAAGUCAAACCCUAAAGCAAUUUUUGGACUAGGGCAAGGAGGGGUAUGUUGGACAAUUGUGCUGGAUACCUGCUAAGUGUUGGACACGCACAGGGUUCGACACAGAUUCCAAAGUGGAAUUUGGGUCGGUUCCUGUCAAAAUAGCCACCAUAAACCAUCAACACUCAAGACAACCCCAAGGCAAAAUUACAUUUGUUUCCCAAUUCAGUAUAUCUUUUUUGGUCAUUUUAUACUAGGGUAAAUUAAGAAUUCAAUAAAUACUUUGGUAGUAUGGUAUACUAAGUUAAUGUUAGGUUCCUUUAGCAGCACUCUAAAUAUAACAUUAGCGACACCAACUUGUAUAUCAACUUUUUGUACCAACUAGUGUGGCAUAUCAUGUGGUAUGUGAAAAUUAGUAUACAAGUUGAUGCCUGUAGUAUUAUUGUAAAUUUAAUAUGUCGAAUUUGACUAAUACAUGGUUGACCUAAAACCACAUCUAAUUUUCUCGGCUUGCAUCGAGAGUAUUAGUCAUUUGAAACUGUUGCUUAUAUAGGAAGCGCUUAUGUUUGUAAGCAUUUUUUUUUUAUUAAAAGUGUAUUCUUAAAAAAAAAAAAAAAUUAAGUCUCACCUUCUAAAAAUAACAACUGAAAAAAUUUGAAUGUAAUUUAUAAAAAUGCGCUUUAUAAAGCGCUUUUAUGACUCACAAACACUUUUAGUUAUAUUCCAAUUUCUCCUUUUGGAGGCCUCCAGGUCCAGGUUUGUCAACUGGUAGGGGCACAUAAAUUGCCUACGCCAACUCCACUUUUGGAUGACCCAUGUUAUAUGCAUAGAGAAACAAAAUUCAGACACUUUAUGUGAACAUUGUAAGGCCUUUUUUAAGGACAAAAGUGGGUUGUUGGAACGAGAUAGCCAUGAUUGCCAGUGCCACCCACUGAAUAUUUAUCAUCAGAACAUGGAAUUCCAAAAAUAAGUCUGAAAGGUAUGAUUUAUGCUAAGAUUCUAGAGCACUGAGUUUCCCCUUAAUACACGAUUCAUAAAGAUAGGUUUUUCUAAAAAAAUAAUAAAAUAUUCUUCUUUUAGUGGAAUGGAGAUGAACUUCUAAUAUUAAAAAAGGAAAAUAUAACUAGAUUAAAAGAAUUACUUAUUAUAUGAAUAGGGGAAGUAAUGAACCGGGAAAUUUAGGAAUGUGAAUUGGAUCUACUCUCUCUAGUUGAUUGGGUUAUAAUUUUGAGGGUAUUGAAAUUACAGAUAUUAACAUGUAAAUUUUUUAUUCUUUAUGUACGUUAAACGCAUGAGAAGUCAUGAAUUGAAAUAAUUUCAAUAUCCCUGUCUUAGAGUCUUUAGAGUAGGAAUAGAGAAUAAUUCCAAUCUAUUCCUUUUUUUUUUCUUUUUUAUUUUUUGAAAAUAGGCGAUGAUAUAUUAUUGAUGAGCAAACAAAAGAACAAAGCAAGUGAGAAACAUGACCACCGCUCCACAUCUUCCGGGCAACCUUAAGAAAAUCAUAGCACCAUAUCGGCUAAACCCAUAGUCCCGCAUUGGCUAAACCCGAACUCAAUGCAACCAGACAUCUUCCCCUCUUUAGAGAUCCAAACUAUGUCGAAGGGAGCCAACUCCUUGUUUAUGUGGGCCAAAAUACGGUGACUAUAUCAUGGUGACUCUUCCACAUCACAAAAUAAACUAACAAUUUUGAAGAAAAAAGGGAUAAAAUGAGAAUGAAGGAGGUAGGGAAGGAGGGUGCCAACCUAAAAAAGGGGUGGCGGCUAAGACUUUUUUAAUUCCAAACAUGCUACAUUUGAUCUUAAUAAGUCUAUUGGCCGGUUAGUCUUAUGGAAGCUAAGAUAACCAGUAUAAUUCAUUAUAUUUAGGAAAAUGCUAGGCUUACCACAUUUUUCAUACCACAUUGUGUACCACCUCCCUAAUAGAGGUGGACCUCCCUAAUAGAGGUGGGCUCCACCUCUAUUAGAAAGGUGGUACACAAUGUGGUAUAAAAAUGUGGUAAGCCUAGCAUUGCCCUUAUAUUUAAUGUACAAAUAGGUACCCUCCAUUUCUUCCCUCAAAUGAGUACACAGCUGAUGUGGCACUAGUGGCUCUGCCACGAGAGAGUAAUUAUAAUUAAUGAUAUUUAAAUUUAAGUUUAUAGAUAAGAUGCAUCCACUUGACCUUCUGGUGGUUAGAAUUACAAGAAUGUGGCCUGCGCACCAGAAUUCCCUUAUAUAUCUGUGUUUCUUAACCAUCUUCGGACAAACAAGAUAAUACCAGUUUAAUUACUGGUUCUUAAAUUAAUACCAAAACCAGUCAGCUCUCUCUGUUUGAGGCACAAACAUAUUAGUGAUGAUGCCUUGCUCAACAGGCCACCGCAUAUUCUCCUCCUCCUAUAAAUAGACUCAUAAUUUUGGAGCCUCUAAAACCACCAAACCAAUCCAAUCCAACCCACAAUCAAUUUUUUAAGUUAUUGGUUUCUCGUUUUCCAACCAUGUCUUCCAUUGGAGCAACUUAUGCAACAGUUUAUGUGAUGCAGAAGCGACAGAAGGAGGAAAUGAAGAAGAAGCUAGAGCACAUGGGAGGGAGAUCAGGACAGAGCAGUACUGUACAAGACACCAAAGUCUCUGCACAUGGGAGGAACAAGAAGGUUUAUCCGGGGACUUUUCAGUCCCCGAACAAUAGUCCGGUGGAGGCCGGACAUAAUUAAUGUGGCUAAUUCUGUGGGUUGUGAGUUUCUCAACUUGUAAGUGAUCAAGGUGCUGGGUUAAUUUACACUACUGUUGCUGGUUAUUUCUGUGUACUAUUGUAAUUGUAAUUAAUUCUCUAAACAUUUAGGUUUUAUAAGCUUCCAAGUUUUAGGUUAUGCUUGUUCUCAAUUUGUAUAUCUAUUACAAGUAAAAGUGGAAGAAGCUUUGCUCUGUGAGUUUCUGAAGUUGUUGCGACGUGAAGUUCCAUCGCAAUGCCGUCGCAUAUGGGUUUUACCGACGAUGUUGGUGCCUUAUACGACACUUUCUAUCCGCCGUAAAUGACCCAUUUUGUAGUACUGCAAAGAGCAUCUUCCUUCAUGCAAAAUGUUAAAUUUGAAUUUAAUAACUUACAUGGGAAUUUGAAAUUUAGUAAAACUUUGAACUUCAACCGAAAUCCCAAAUUUCAUAUUAUUUUAUUAUAUUUUUUAAUACGAUCAAUAACCUAUAAAAGAGAAUAAAUAUAAUAGUGGUGCUCAUGACUGAAAAAAUAUUAAAAUAAUAUUUGGCAUCAGAAUUGAUGAGAUGUUAUUUUUCACAUAUUUCUUCUAGCCUUCAAAUUCAUAUAAAAUUUGACUAUUCGGUUAAAGUUACUAAAUAAUUUUUUCCUUCAACUUUUGCAAUUUCAUAUCUUGGUGGCAAUUUAACAUCUCCAAAUUCCUUUUGGAUAUGCUCUAGGCAGGUGUAUGACAUUCUUUUUCUAUUUUGUCCCUUGUUAUGAGUUCACUUUUGUAGUCUGUCACGACAAUAUCUAUCAAGUAAUGGCUUGUUGGAAAAAAAGAUAUACAGCCAUGAUUACCAUCCCACUGAAUACCAUCAGAACGUGGAAUUACAAAAAAAAGUCUAGAGGUAUAUGAUUGCUAUUAAGGCUCUAACCACUUUCUCUAGAAGAAUGCUGGCUGUAUAAUUAGGGAUAACAUGAGGUUUUUUUGUGGUGCGUGGUCAUUCCUCUUAGUGUAAAAGAGAAAGUUCAUUAAAGAAGAGUUUGUGCUCUUGAGUCAUCCUCUAAAGAUUUCGAGAGAGAUUAGUACUUGUAAUCUCAUUUUCAUUAGUCGAAGUAUUUUCGGAAUUUGUCCCAUGGUUUUUCGCUUCAUAUUGGAGGGAUUUUCGCGUUAAAUUUAGUGUCUAUUUCCUUUCUAUGUAUAAAUUUUUUAAUACAAGUGAUGGUUUAAACUAGAAAUGAGAGAGGGUUUCUCACACACACUAUCAAGGUGCUAUGGGAGUUCGAACUUGAGACUACUAGUUUGCAAAUUAAGGCCAUUUUUCACUAGGCUAGACCCCGUUAGCUCCCCUCUAUAUUUCUCAUACUAUUUGUGUUCAAUUCGUAUUUGAAUUCCUACGAUUUAUAAUUUUUUUUAAUAUAAGCGAUAGUCUAACCUAUAAGGAGAGGGGCACACACUACAAGGUCCUUUUUCACUGGUCUCUAAACCUCGUUGACCUAUGAUUUACACUUAAGCAUCUGCUUUUGGUUCAACAUUAGUAAUAGUGUAAUUGAGAACGUAAUUCCAUAUUAAGUCGAUUGGCCCGUUAGUAUUAUGUAUGAUCUCAUGACUUUCAGGCUGCUACGAUAACCCUUCAUUAGAUUUAAUGUCCAACUGUAGGCAGCCUCCAUUUCUUCCCCAACAUGAGCACACAGCUGAUAUGGCAUGUUUGUGUCAGCACUAGUGGCUUUGCCAACUUGUCAUCCUAUAUAAUUUAUAAUUAAUUAACCGACAUUUAAAUUUAAUUAGAGGUAUAACAUGCAUCCACUUAAUGUAAGAGAGAGAAAGUUCAUUAAAGAAGAGUUUGUGCUCUUGAGUCAUCCUCUAAAGAUUUAGAGAGAGAUUAGUACUUGUAAUCUCAUUUUCAUUAGUGGAAGUGCUUUCGGAAAUUGUCCCAUGUUUUUUCACUUCAUAUUGGAGAGAUUUUCAUGUUAAAUCUGGUGUCUAUUUCCUUUCUAUGUAUAUAUUUUUUUUAAUAUAAGCGAUAGUUUAAAUUACAAGGAGGAUGUGGUUUUUCACACACACUAUCAAUGUGCUAUGUAUUGAAGAAUACACACAGUCCCACAUAGGAAAAUUAACAAAAUAGAAAGUCUCAUAUAAUAAAUGGGUCCACUCUAAUAAAAUCGAGACCUUUUGUAUAAAAUCUCAUACCUGCUAAACAGUUGGUUAAAUUGGGGACAAUAUCGAUGUUGCUAGUGGUGGGCCAAAGGUCCAUCCCUUUGAAAUCUUAACAUGGUAUCAGAGGGGGUCGGUUGAUUGGGCCCAAUUAAACCUAAAUCAAACAAAUCCCAAAUUGAAAAUAAAUAUAUUUAUAAAUAAUAAAAUUUUAAAAUUUUAAAAUAAUAAAAAAUAAAAAUAAAAGGUGACCGAUGUGGAAUUUGUUAUACGUGUGGCCCAAUAAAAAGUGGUCUCACGUGAGAAAAAGUAUUGAAGAAUACACACAAUCCCACAUCGAAAACUUAACAAAAUAGAAAGUCUCAUAUAAUGAAUGGGUUCAUUUCUAAUAAAAUCGAGGCCUUUUAUAUAAAACCUCACACCUACUAAACAUGUGGUUAAGUUGAGGACAAUAUCGACAUUGCUAGUGGUGGGUCAAGGGUCCGUCCCUCUGAAAUCUUAACACUAUGGGGAUUCGAACCUGAGAUAAUUGGUCUGCAAGUUAAAGCCUUUUUUCACUAGAUUAGACCCCAUUGACUCUCAUGUAUAAUACAAGUGAUAAUCUAAACUAUAAGGGGAGGGACACACACUACAAAAGUAUCAUGGGGAUUCAAAUCUGAAACCACUGAUCUAUAAGUUCAGACCAUUUUUCAUUGGGUUAGACCCCGUUGGCCUAUGAUUGACACUUAAGCAUCUACUUUUGGCUCAACAUGAGUAAGUCGAUUAUCCCGUUAAAUCUUAUGCAUGAUCUCAUGGCUUUCAAUUGACAGCUAUGACCCUUCAUUAGAUUUAAUGUCCAACUACGCACCCUCCAUUUCUUCCCCCAACAUGAGCACACAGCUGAUGUGGCAUCUUUGUGGCAUUCUUAUGGCAUCCUAAUUAUAAUUUAUAAUUAAUUAAUCGAAAUUUAAAUUUAAUUAUAGGUAUAACAUGCAUCCACUUAAGCUUCUUGUGGUUAGAAAGAAUGUGGUCUGCGCACCACUAUUCCUUUUAUUUCUGUUCUUAAUUAAACAUCUUGGAACAAACAAGAUAAUACCAGUUUAAUCACUGGUUCUUAAGAUAAUACCAUAAACAGUCAGCUCUGAAAUGCAAAUGCUAGUGAUGGCUUGCUAAAAGAACCACAUAUUCCCCUAUAAAUACUCCUCUAAUUUGGAAAUCUCAUACCACCACAACAAUUCACUUUUUUUUAGUUGGGUUUUUGUUUUCUAGCCAUGUCUUCCAUUGGGGCUAGCUAUGCUGGGGUUUAUGUGAUGCAGAAGCGACAGAAGGAGAAAAUGGAGAAGAAGGAAGACGAAACUAGAGGGAAAGGAGAGAGCAGUAUAGCAAAGGAGAGCAAAGUCUCUGCACCUGGGAGGACCAAAAAGGUCCAUGCAGAGAAUUUUCAGGCCUCGGACACUACCCGUCCCUAGAGGAAGGCCAUAGUUAGUGUGCAUGGCUUAAUGUGUGGAAUGGUAGUUUCUAAAGUUUUUACAAAUGCUUAUGCUUGGUUGAUUUUUCAAGUGAUUUAUUCUUGUUUAACUUGUGUUUUGUAUAAGUUUCCAAGUUUUAGGUUGUGCUUCCAUUUUCACCUUGUAUAUAUAUCUACAAGUUGCUAUAUGUUGUGUGAUCUUUCUAAGCUAUCUCAAUACCAAAAAAAUUUAGUGCUGCCUCUCCGUAGUUUCCCCAAUGAAAAUACUUUAGAUGCAAUAUUUGCGUUUCUUUGUGUGAUUAACGAAUUUUCACUUUACAUAUAUAUUAUAAUUAGAACUGUUCAUUUACGAAAUCACCAUUUAAAGAUCACCUUUAUUAUAAAUAAAUUAAAAAUUAAAAAUAAGAAAAAGCAAUCAAAUUGGAGUUGUAUGGUCAUCCAAAUGUAUGGAGGAAAUGUAUUGUUCACUACGAACUAACACAAUUGAGUUGCACUACUUAAGUUCCAAAUCAUUACCAACCUCUGACUUAAAACAAAAAGAAGGUUUUUUUUAAAAUACAAGGAGAGGGAGACACAUUACUUAAAAUACAAGGAGAGGGAGACACAUUACAAAAGUAUCAUGGGAUUCGAACCUAAGACCACUGAUCUAUAAGUCAAAGUCCUUUUUCACUGGUCUAAACCACGUUGACCUAUGAUUUACACUUAAACAUCUGCUUUUGGAUCAACAUUAGUAAUAGUGUAAUUGAGAACGUAAUUCUAUAUUAAGUCGAUUGGCCCGUUAGUCUUAUGUAUUAUCUCAUGGCUUUCAGGCAGCUACGAUAACCCUUCAUUAGAUUUAAUGUCCAACUAUAGGCAGCCUCCAUUUCUUCCCCAACAUGAGCACACAGCUGAUAUGGCCUAUGGCAGCACUAGUGGCUUUGCCAACUUGUCAUCCUAAUUAUAAUUUGUAAUUAAUUAACCGACAUUUAAAUUUAAUUGGAGGUAUAACAUGCAUCCACUUAAUGUAAGAGAGAGAAAGUUCAUUAAAGAAGAGUUUGUGCUCUUGAGUCAUCCUCUAAAGAUUUAGAGAGAGAUUAAUACUUGUAAUCUCAUUUUCAUUAGUGGAAGUAUUUUCAAAAUUUGUCCCAUGGUUUUUCGUUUCAUAUUGGAGGGAUUUUACAUUAAAUUUAGUGUCUAUUUCCUUUUUAUGUGUAUAUAUUUUUUUUAAUACAAGUGAUAGUUUAAACUAUAAGGAGGAGGGGGUUUCUCACAUAUACUACCAAUGUACUAUGUGUUGAAGAAUACACACAGUCCCACAUCGGAAACUUAACAAAAUAGAAAGUCACAUAUAAUGAAUGGGUCCACUCCUAAUAAAAUCGAGACCUUUUGUAUAAAACCUCACAUCUAUUAAACAUGUGGUUAAGUUGGGGACAAUAUCGAUGUUGAUGGUGGUGGGCCAACGGUCCAUUCCUCUGAAAUCUUAACAUGAUAUCAGAGCGGGUCAGUUGACUGGGCCCAAUUAAACCCAAAUCAAACAAACCCCAAAUUUAAAAUUUAAAAUUUAAAAUAUUUAAAUAUUUAUAAAUAUAAAAAAAAGGUGACUGAUGUGGAAUUAGUUGCACGUGUCGCUAUGGGCAGACCUAGCUCACGCCCAGUAUGAGCCAUGGCCCACACUCAACUUUUGUUACUCACCUAUAUAUAUAGUCAGUCAUGAUCUCUUGGACUACAGGGGUCCAAGAGAUUUGUGGUCACUUACCGUUGGAUGUAAAUUCAACGGUUCACUCACUCUUACACUUCUUUUAAGAAACUUUUUUGAACCAUUGGAUUAAUAUCCAACGGUGGGUGACCACAAUCUCUUGGACUCCUGUGGUCCAAGAGAUCGGGACUGUAUAUAUAGUAUAGUUAGGCCCGCAUAUUUAUUAAAAACAUAACAGUAAGCCCACACAAUUGUCCAAUUAUUAAAAACUAAUUAAAGAAACACCCUAGGAAGCUAUCACGUGAAGACUUGCCAACGCCUUGUCUCUGUCUGGAAUAGUCGCCAAUGCCAAAGAGAGGAAGACAUCGUUGUUCACAAGCGAAUCCAUCUUUGUUUAUUAUAACCAUAGUCUAAAAUAUUGAUAAUAUCGAGGAAAUAUCGAGGAAAUAUCGAGGAUAUUUCGAUUUUUUUGAAUCACAGAUAUUUCGAAACAUAUCCAUGUACAUAUCGUAUAAAUAUCGACAAUAUCGACGAUAAUAUCAGAAAAUAUCGAUGUCGAUAAUUUCGCUCACAUUUCAGCAAUAUUUUGUCAAAAUAUCGGUGUAAUAUUGCUAAAAUAUCGAAAAUAUCGAAAAUAUCGAUGUGAAGGAAAAAAAAAAGUUAUUAAAAAAAAAAGGAAAAAAGGGGAGAAAAAAGCACAAAGGGGAUAUGAACCCCUCCCAUUUUACUCCUCCAACACCUUAAACACCAUAUCACUUAUGUUUUUGUGAUAAUAUGCUAAAAUAUUUAUAUUUAUAUGGGUGGUAUGUUAACAAUUACAUGCAAAACUAUUUUGGGGAUUUAUCAUUUGAUGACUACUCUUCACAAUACACUUACUCUACACAUAGAGAUGAUGAAGAUAGUGAAAAAUUUGAACCUCGUAGGAACUCUAUGUGAUACUAAGUCAUUCAUGUAUCUUACCAUGCAAUGUAUAAAGUGUAAAAUAUUAUAGUAAAUCAUUAUAUAUGAAUGAUUACGGUGUAUUUAAUCUUUUUUCAUUAAUUAUUACAUAUUUUUUACACUCAUAGUGUUUGCCCGCUUGCUGUAUAAUCAACUUAAAUUAGUUAAAUCCAUCAUGCAAUGCAUGUCCUUCUAAUUUUUUGUGAUAAACUCAUAGAUAAUUGACUAAAUUGACAUUCUCCAAAGUUUCAAUAAAAAUUUCCAAGUUUUUCUUACAAUUUCCGUGGUUUUUAUUCAAUUUUUAUCGAUAUCGAUAAUAUCCCGAUAUUUCCAUCGAAAUUUCUAUAUGUUUAGACUACCGAUAUUUCUGAUAUCAUUGAUAUUUUAGACCUUGAUUAUAACUUAGCACUUCUUGUAGGUUAGUAAUUGAUUUCUCCUCCUUAGUUACACUUUCAUAUUUUAUUUAUCUUUAUUUUGUAGAAUAAAAUUAUUUUUUUUUGGUCAGCUAGUAUAAUUUUGUGAAAUUUGUGCUGUGAUUGUGAAGAUGAUUGUUAAACUGUUUAAUUGUUAGAACUUUUUUUUUUUUUUUGGGUCGAGACUGUUACAACAUUUGUUUGUAUUUUUUUGUUACACUGUCUCUAAAUAGGUGAUUUUUUGUAACAGUCAUGGAAAAAUAUUUUAAAAGAAAAUCAAGGAUGGAGCCAUCAACUCUUAUAGAGGUUGGUAGUUCAAAACAAAGUCGUAUGGAAGUCAAUGUGGCGGAUCUUCCUUCAGAUCAUGGAUUUCGAACUAGAAUUUUAGAUUACAAUCACAAUAUUCGAGAUCAAAUCCGAAAAGCAUACCUACAAAAAAGUCCUUGUCAACCUAAAAGUCAUAUGUUCCCUUUUAAGAAAUGUGGAAAUGGAAAACAACGGUUCAUCCCUUCUUGGUUUUAUGUUUUCCUAAGUGGUUGGAAUAUAGAGUAAAAAAAAUGAUGCGUUCUAUUUAUGUUGUUUUCUUUUUAAAUCAAAUAGUGGAGAACAAGGGAGUGGUGACGCAUUUGUUGGUGAAGGAUUUUCAAAUUGGAAGGAGAGAAAAAGAUUUGAAAUUCAUAUUGGAGGUCCCAAUAGUGCCCAUAACCAAGCUGUGAAGAAGUGUGAAGCUUUGAUGAAUGAAAAACAACAUAUUGAAAAUGUUUUUCACAAGAUUUCAGUUCAAUCUCAAAUUGAUUAUCAAAUUCGAUUGUGUGCGUCCAUUGGUUGCAUUCGAUUUCUCUAAGACAAGGUCUUGCAUUGCAUGGUCAUGAUGAGUUUGAGAAUUCAAGCAAGCAAGGAAACUUUCUUGAACUUUUACAAUUCCUUGCUAAUCACAAUGAACAGGUUCGAGCUGUAGCACUGAAAAAUGCUCCUAAUAACCUCAAGUUGAUGUCACCAAAGAUUCAAAAAGACAUUGUAAAUGCUGCUGUAGGUGAAACAACUAAUGCUAUUAUAAGUGAUAUUGGUGAUUCCUUGUUUUCUAUUCUUGUUGAUGAAUCUCGUGAUGUAUCCAUUAAGGAGCAAAUGGUUGUUAUGUUUCGUUAUGUUGACAACAAAGGGUAUGUGAUUGAACGUUUCAUGGGUAUUGAACAUGUGGCUAGUACAACAGCUUUCUCAUUGAAGACUUCAAUUGAUGCAUUAUUUGCUAGACAUCAUUUGAGCAUAUCUCAAUUACAUGGUCAAGGUUAUGAUGGGGCAAGUAAUAUGAAUGGAGAGUUCAAUGGUUUGAAAACACUUAUUAAGAAAGAUAGUCUAUGUGUUUUUUAUGUUCACUGCUUUGCUCAUCAACUUCAAUUGGCUCUGUGUCUUUGGCAAAAAAUCAUAGCCUAAUAGGUGUUUUUUUCACCUUAGUUUCCAAUGUGAUAAAUAUUGUUGGGGCAUCAUCAAAGCGUCGUGAACAAGCCCUCAAAGUUAUUGAAGCACUUAGCAAUGGUGAGCUCUCAACCGGUUAAGGCUUAAAUCAAGAACUUGGAGUUAGACGUCCAUGUGAUACUCGAUGGGGCUCACACUAUGGUACUUUGCUUAACUUUGUUUCCAUGUUUUCAUAUAUAAUUGAUGUAUUAGAGGAAAUUUCAAAUGAUAGAGUGGGCACUGCUCAGAAAAAUGAAGCAUUUAUUUUGUUAGGGUUGCUUCAAUCAUUUGAUUUUGUGUUCAGUUUGCAUUUGAUGGAGAUUAUACUUGGAAUUACAAAUGAGUUAUCGCAAGCUUUACAAAGGGAUGAUCAAGAUAUUGUGAAUGCCAUGGAUUUAGUUGAAAUAUGCCAGCAAAACUUGCAGAAUAUGAGAGAAAAUUGAUGAGAUUCUUUAUUAGAGAAAGUUUCCCUUUUUUUUGUGUGAGACAAAAUAUUGAAGUUCCUAACAUGGAUGAUAUGUUUGCAGUUCGAGGGCGAUCAUGACAUAGGGCACAACAAAUUAAAAAUAUGCAUUAUUAUUGUGUUGAUCUUUUCUAUGAUGUGAUAGAUUUGCAACUUCAAGAGCUAAGGAAUCGUUUCACAGAGGUUAACAUAGAGUUGCUGCUUUGCUUGGCAUGCUUAAGUACGAAUAAUUCAUUUUCUGCUUUCAAUACGCAAAAAUUGGUACGUCUUGCUGAACUCUAUCCAAGUGAUUUUUCUACUGAACAACUCAUGGCACUUGAAAUUCAACUUGAGAAUUAUAUUGACGAUAUACAUUCCAAUACCAAGUUUCAAGAAUUGAAUGGAAUUUCUGAUCUUGCGAAAAAAUUAGUUGAGAUAGGAAAGCACAAAGAAUAUCCAUUAGUCUAUUUUCUCAUAACGUUGGGAUUAGUACUUCCAGUUGCUACAGCUUCUGUAAAAAAGGUAUUCUCUGGUAUGAACUUUGUUAAGAACCGGUUGCGCAAUCGAAUGGGAGAUCAAUGGAUGAAUGAUAGCUUGGUUGUAUAUAUUGAGAAAGACAUCUUCAAUGACAUUGAUAAUGAGCUCAUUGUCAAGCGUUUUCAAUUGUAAUUGUAUUGAUUGUACUUGCUAUGAAUUUUUUUAGUCUUGAAUUUUUGCAGUUGGGUCUUGUAUUUUAUCUUUGUUACGCCCACACAUGGAAAAAAUCCUAGGCCUGCCACUGCAUGUGACCUACUAAAAAGUGGUCCCACAUGAGUAGGAGUGUUGAAGAAUACACAUAGUCUCAUAUCGAAAACUUAACAAAAUAGAAAGUCCCAUAUAAUGAAUGGGUCCACUCCUAAUAAAAUCAAGGCCUUUUGUAUAAAACCUCACAUCUGCUAAACAUGUGGUUAAGUAGGGACAAUAUCGAUGUUGCUAGUGGUGGGUCAAAGAUCCGUCCCUUUGAAAUUUUAACACUGUGGCGGUUCGAACCUGAGACUAUUGGUCUGCAAGUUAAGGCCAUUUUUCACUAGGCUAGACUCAAUUGGCUCUUCUCUUUAUUUCUCAUACUAUUUGUGUUUGAUUCGUAUUUGAAUUCCUACGAUUUAUAAUAUUUUUUAAUACAAGUGAUAGUCUAAAUUAUAAGGGGAGGGACACAUAAUACAAAAGUAUUAUUGGAAUUCGAACCUGAGACCACUGAUCUAUAAAUUAAGGCCUUUUUCAUUAGGCUAGACUCCAUUGAUCUAUGAUUGACACUUAUGCAUCUACUUUUGGCUCAACAUGAGUAAGUCGAUUGUCCCGUUAGUCUUAUAUAUGAUCUUAGUCUUAUAUAUGAUCUCAUGGCUUUCAAUUGACAGCUAAGAUAACCCUUCAUUAGAUUUAAUGUCCAACUACGCACCCUCCAUUUCUUCCCCCAACAUGAGCACACAGCUGAUGUGGCAUCUUUGUGGCAUUCUUAUGGCAUCCUAAUUAUAAUUUAUAAUUAAUUAAUCGAAAUUUAAAUUUAAUUAUAGGUAUAACAUGCAUCCACUUAAGCUUCUUGUGGUUAGAAAGAAUGUGGUCUGCGCACCACUAUUCCUUUUAUUUCUGUUCUUAAUUAAACAUCUUGGAACAAACAAGAUAAUACCAGUUUAAUCACUGGUUCUUAAGAUAAUACCAUAAACAGUCAGCUCUGAAAUGCAAAUGCUAGUGAUGGCUUGCUAAAAGAACCACAUAUUCCCCUAUAAAUACUCCUCUAAUUUUGAAAUCUCAUACCACCACAACAAUUCACUUUUUUUUAGUUGGGUUUUUGUUUUCUAGCCAUGUCUUCCAUUGGGGCUAGCUAUGCUGGGGUUUAUGUGAUGCAGAAGCGACAGAAGGAGAAAAUGGAGAAGAAGGAAGACGAAACUAGAGGGAAAGGAGAGAGCAGUAUAGCAAAGGAGAGCAAAGUCUCUGCACCUGGGAGGACCAAAAAGGUCCAUGCAGAGAAUUUUCAGGCCUCGGACACUACCCGUCCCUAGAGGAAGGCCAUAGUUAGUGUGCAUGGCUUAAUGUGUGGAAUGGUAGUUUCUAAAGUUUUUACAAAUGCUUAUGCUUGGUUGAUUUUUCAAGUGAUUUAUUCUUGUUUAACUUGUGUUUUGUAUAAGUUUCCAAGUUUUAGGUUGUGCUUCCAUUUUCACCUUGUAUAUAUAUCUACAAGUUGCCAUAUGUUGUGUGAUCUUUCUAAGCUAUCUCAAUACCAAAAAAAUUUAGUACUGCCUCUCCGUAGUUUCCCCAAUGAAAAUACUUUAGAUGCAAUAUUUGCGUUUCUUUGUGUGAUUAACGAAUUUUCACUUUACAUAUAUAUUAUAAUUAGAACUGUUCAUUUACGAAAUCACCAUUUAAAGAUCACCUUUAUUAUAAAUAAAUUAAAAAUUAAAAAUAAGAAAAAGCAAUCAAAUUGGAGUUGUAUGGUCAUCCAAAUGUAUGGAGGAAAUGUAUUGUUCACUACGAACUAACACAAUUGAGUUGCACUACUUAAAUUCCAAAUCAUUACAAACCUGUGACUUAAAACUAAAAGAAUGCUUCUUUUUUUGUCAUUUUUUUGUUUUCUCUUUAAUACCAUGUGAAAUAUGUAAUGUCUAGCUUCCUUAAGCUUUCUAGAUAAGCAAUCUAGCAAAUGUUAGGCCAAUGACUUUAAAACCUCGCAUGCUUGAAGACAUUAUGUGUAAAGACACCCUUAGAGCGCUUCCCCCUCCGGAGCCCAGCCAAGGCAAAAGGUCCCUUAGGCCUCCAAUAAUGGUUCCAACGCUCAAUUUUUGCUCGGGAAAGAUAUGGAGUCCACCAACCCAAGCAAGAUGGGCUCCCGCUCGCGAAUGAUGACAUCAGCGAAGAAAUUUUUUUUAAAUAUAAUUACCAAAUAUUUUAGAAUAUUUUUUUAUAGGUAAAUUUUUUUAUUAUUAAACUCAUACAUAUAAAUAAAAAAUUAAUUUCAUAUGAAUAGUAAUUGUCCUCGAGUUGCCACGACAAUAGAUGAAAAAGCAACGAAAAUAUUACUAGGAUAGAUAAUAUUCACAUAAACAGUAAAUGCUUAAACUAGCUAGUCCCCUAAAUAUAACUAGUCUCGACUAUGCUAGAAUUGACCUUCACGAGGGGCAUAAACAAACUUAAUGGACCGCAACUGUUUUUUAGCAAUAUGAAUGUCAUACAACCCUCCCUCAAGAUUUGCUGACCCUCACAAUUCAAUAGUGUCCCGCUUUGAAAUGAAUGCGAGGAUUAAUACUUUUUAUACAAAAAAUGGGGAAUUCGAGGCGAGGAUGGGUAUAGCCCCCCUAUGGGCACGAAGACGGGGACGAGGAUUCUCCGAAACCUCUUAGGCGGGGAUGGUACUGCCCAAACAACUUUGAAUAAAAGAAAGCUUUGUUAAUGUAAAGGUAGGCUGGAUUUGCAUUCGACCAAAAUUCUAAAAUAUAAUUACUGCAAGCACCGACCACGCAGGGACAUGUUUCACUAAUUAUGAUAUAAUCUGUCUGAUAUUUUUGUACUUACAAAAGGUAUGCGGCUAGUAAGCUGCACGUCUAACUUGUACAUGGAGCAUCUUCAAACUCUCAUCAUCACUGAAAUAAGCUCCUCCCCUCUGAUAUGCUAAGUGGAACAAAAUAGAAAAAAGAGAAUCCCUGCCAUGCCACGAUCCCCAUAGAUGAGCUACAUUUACUAGUUACUAUAUCGGUUAACAGCCAAUUUCCUACAGCACCACCAUUGGGGGCAAGUUAACCAAAUCGGUCCCCAUCUGUCUCGAUUGCCACGAAAGCAAAAAUCCUCAUGAGUUCCAUUGCCAAGGCUGAACACGCCCCAAUCCUUUCUUCCAGCAUUAUUCAGAUUAAGCCUAGCUGAAAUUCCAUAAAGAUGAUCAGAAUCCCAUUCGUUCCACCAUGGAGCAGCAUGAUCAUUAGAGAAAUAGAUACAAUUCCUCAUCGCAACACCGAGUUCCGUCGAAGAAACAGACCGCGAACAACAUUUGCCUAGAAAUAAGAUUUUAUCCCCCAAAUCAUGUACCCUCUUCCAGGACAUCAGGCUAAAAUCCAAUGAAUAUACUUUGAAAUCAUGUGUUUCAAGAACAGCCUCUGCUUUGGUGUUAUAAAGCCUACAAACAAGAAGAAGCUCCCCACAAGAUUCCACAAGAUACUUCAACACACCACUAUUUUCCUGCUCCUCUGACAUUAUUACUUCAUGACAAUCUAUUUUUACCUCAUAAGCAUCAUAUGUUCUAAUGCUAGCAAAGAUAUUAGCAGACUUAAUCUGCCAAAUGUUAUAAUCAUUGCUUAUAAGAUAGAAACUUCCAUCACAGAAGACAGCAUCCUCAAAUGGAUCACCAUCCAGUUUAUGUUUAAACCAUAAUUCAGCUCCUGGGACCCAAAAAGAAAGCUCCCGACAUUGACUAUGAACAAGCAUGCAAACAUAGUUGUCAAGGAUGGGAAGCCCUGAGAGAACAAUCUUAUGAUAAAAGUUCCAUGUUUUGGGAAGAUCAGUUUUGUUCCUAGAGAAUGGAUUCAACAAGCUAAUCUCAAGAUAGAAACAACCAAUAUGUUUUACUAGAAUCAACCAAUCUUGAUAUGAUCCCCAACAAUAUCUUCCAUAAGCCUCGGGAAGCACAAUGUCCCAAUGUUGUUUUUGUAGUAUGCUAAUACAAGUUCUUACCUCUCUAUCUUUGCCAGACAUCAUGAGCCAUGGCACACCACGGCUUUGCCAACCAGCAAGUUCUUGUGCAACAACAUGUCUCCAGGCUUUGCAAACAUCACUAACAGAUAUACAAUCAGUCACAGUCAGUCGCUCAAAGAUGAUCUCAAGGAUACCACGAGGCAGCUCUGUCCAAUCCAGAUUAACAAGCUUCUGCUGCUUCCUUCUUCUAUUUCUGCUUCGACCCAUCGUGCAGCUCUAUGACUCUACUCGCCUACAAAAACAAAUAUAAUAAAUGAAAUCCUUAAACUAUCUUUGGGAGAAAAAGAGAGGGGGGAAAGAAAUCAUAAUAACACCAACAAACUCUUAAUGACAGAUUGUAAAUAAAAUUGUAAAUGCAACAUCAAGAAGUAAGUAGUGUGUGAAAACAGAGUUUUUAGUGCAAUAGUAUAAGCUUCAAUCUAGGUGUGAUGUAAGGUUCUCUGUUAACUAAUCCAUCGAAUCUGCAUGUCUUUGGGUUUUACUACACUAGCAACCUCAAAAAGUUUACAUCAAUUAAGAGGUGAGCAUGACCCCCAAUCAGUGCAAGAAAGGAUAAUUAUCUGCACGCCAUUUGUUGUUGUUCUCAGCAGACUAGCAACUGUAGGAACUUACUGAGCUUCCUGGCUUGAUCAGAGGUAGUGAGUACAAUAAAAGGGUUUGGCUCAAACUUGAAAGAAUCUUUGGCUCUUUGAAAAUAGCUAAAGUAUCCUUGUAGCAUUUACACAGUAAAAGUUGAAAUUAAACCCAAAACUGAAAUUCACUGCACAAUAUAUUCUGGACAACUUGCUAGAUAACUCUUAACUGCUAGAUAAAAAAAGCAGUACUUGUUCCUACGAGUCUAGAACCAGACCUUGUAAGAAACUCAAAGAAAAUAAAAGCAGACACAAAAUAAAACCAGAAUUACUUUCAAGAAAGAAAGUUUCGAACUUUCUUCCAUUGAACCAUGCAAAAUUGAAAAUAGCAACCUUUUCAAUGAGUUUUGGAAGAUUUUAAAGCCAUCAGUGCAUUUCACUUGACACCCAUUUAUCCAAUGCGUGCAUGCAACAAUCAAAAGCUACCGUAGACCCCCUUAACCCAUUUAUCCAGUAAGAUUUUGUUAAAAAUAGCACCCAUCAUUGUGAAUUCAUUUGGGCACCAAAUGCUUACACAAGCAUAUAAUGUCGUCAUUCAAAAUGUAGAUAGCUUCAAAAGCUAAAUACAAAGGGAAGAAACACUACAAAGGGAUCAACGGUUGAGUUCAGUGAAUAUAUUUACUUCUAGUGAUUGUAAAAAAUAAAAAAAAAAGCAUGAGACUCAGAAUCAGUAAGUGCAAAUAAAAGUAAAUAAAGCAUAAUCCACUUACCAAAUGAUGUCCAGACGUUGGAGACUAAUAGCUAGAAGAACAAAGAGGAAAGUUGCAUGUCUAGGUUUUACAGGAGUGAAACUACAGUCGUUGCCGGAAUGGAACGCCAGCAAACAACAUAGCUGCUUCAGAAGAAAGAAGUCUCUCGAAGGAAAAGGAAUCGCUGCUUACGAAAAUGGUAUGUGUCAUAUUUUGAUUCCUCGUUUCUGCCCAAAGAAAAAGAUAACGGGCUUGGCCCAAUCUGUAUCUAUGAGACGGGUCACGUAGUGGGCCAUCUUAGCCCAGUUCACUAUGCAAAUUUAUUUUUUCACUUCUGAGAUCAUUUCCCAAGUUUUUUCUUUCUUAGAAAAAGAUACUCUAAUGUACAGAGAGGAGAUCAAACUCAAAUACAAAGGAACAGACGCACUGUUUUAGCCAACUUCGAACCCACAUCCGCUCUAAUUUACUAGGAUUGAAAAUAAAAUUUAAUUGAUAAGUUCAAAAAGGAAGUAAUAUCCCCAACUAGUUGGUGUUAUUUUUCAGUAGAAUUCCUACUGGGAUGUGUUUUUGUUUUUCAGCCAUGUCUUUGGCAGUACCGACCCUGGACAAGAGUUGGAAGUAUGAUCGCCCAAGGCCCAUUGUCCAAAGGGGCCCAGUUUUCUGUUUUCCUUUUAAUAUAUGUAUUAUAUAUUACUACAGACAACAAAAAAAAAAAGAACAGAACAGGAGUCCACGUCCAUGUGGGUCUCUGUCUCCAUAUGCAAACGAAAAAUUAUAAAAUAGUACGGUUAUCAUCACGUCAGCUGGUGAUAUUUUCACUCAAAAUAUGUCAUGUGUCAUACUUUUAAACAAGUCACACUUUAUUUUACAGCUGGAAUUGAAACUUAAUUUUUACCAUUUAAAAUAAAAUUAAGGAAAUCAAAAAAAAUCAAAAAAGACAAGAGACGAGCAAUUGCCCACACCAACCCAAUCGCCUACUCCCAGGGCACCUACCUUGCUCGCCUCUCUCUAUCUCUCAUACAAGUCUCCAAUCUCUCUCGGAGUAAGCUCCUUUCUGUCAAUAAAGAAGUGAGGAAUCUCUUAGAAUCUCCUUUAGAUUCUUCGCUAGAGCAGAAAUUUCAUAGUCGGUCGGAGGGCUUGCUCCGCUUCCUCGUCCUCCAUAAACAGAAUAACUCCCCCGGAAACAAGUUUUCGUUUUGAUCUGCACCGUGAGUUGCUUCGAUCUCUCUCCCUUCAACUGUUAAAUCAUCGCCAGAUUUGCUUCUCAGCCAUUUGCUUCUCAACCUUUUAGUGGCUACCCCAAGAUCUAUCUAUAUUUUCUCAUUGAUGAAGGUCUCAGGGAUUUGUUGACUUCUAAAUUACAGAUUGCCAUUAGAUGUGAAGAAGGUUGUAAUGGGAGGUGGGUGUAUCACAAACAGGCUAAAAAUUAACCAGUAGGAAAUUGAUACUGAAAAGGUUGAUUGUGUUGGGUUGUCAACACCAAUACGCAUAGUAAGGGUAAAAUCCUUAGACCUAAUUCUUCAAGUUAAAUUUUUUUUCAUUGAUUUGUCACUAAAAGAGAAAUUUUUAAAAAAAAUGAAAUUCACCCUUUUGCGAACAAUACCGCUCUAACUCCAUCGUUCUUGUGUUUACAACUAAUAUGCAUGAUAAAGUUAAUUCUUUAUGUUUUACAUUUUGUAUUUGGGAAACUUAUUCGGUUGAUGCUAAUUAAUUUUAAUGAACUCAAAUUGUAAAGGUCAUAUUUUCAUUUUGACAAUAUAUGUUAUUUGGUUGCAUUUAAUAUGUUAAAGCUUAUAGAAAUUAGUCAAUGGAGCUAUAUGAACUAGUGUGGUUUAUAUGAUUUAAUAUUACUUUUAGAGUUUUUCUAUUUAAACCCGCAUUUCUCUUUGUUCACCUCAAUACUUAAAUCAUUAAGCUGUUAAGUUUUAUUAUUGUGUAAAAAGACAAAAAAAAUCAUCUAACUUAAUAAUUAACCCUAUUACAUCUAUAUACACCCCACAGACACCCCACCAAUUUUCAUAUUAAGUUUUCGAAAAAUACAAAUUCCUCUAGAUCCUAUUGCCAAAUUAUUCUUCUCUUUUAAAGAUGUAGAAUGUUGAGGAGCCUACCUCUUUACAAGUUAUGUCGGAGCUGAUGGAAAAGCUUGUUGAUUUCUUGGCUGUAAUGAUCUUAUUCUCUUUCCUUUGUUUCAUAUAUCCAACUUUUCAAUUGUUGCUUUAUGACAGUCACAACUCAUGACGCAUGAGUACUAUGCUUGUGUUUCCUUGCAAGAUUAUGAUAGUCUACUUUCGAGUACACAACCAACUAUCCACUUAGGGCUCGUUUGGUACACCGUAUUAGACUCUGGAUAUGAGUAAAUAGUCUAUGUCAGGUGUUUGGUGUCAACUUGUAUUAUUUAAUUACCCAACUAUUUUAUACGGGUUGGGCUUUUAAUACUCUCCUUACCUGACUAACUAAUACAAUCCACAAAGUCCGGUUUAGAUAAUACACGCUUAAUUAUACGGCUAAGCACACGUUUUACGAAAAAAAAUCAAACGCUCUUUUCUUCUUUUUCUCCCUAGGGUUUUUCUCUGCUAUCUUCUCCAAAGGUUAUUUUCUUCACUCUUCUCCAGGUAUCCAUCUCUCUCUCUCUCUCUCUCUCUCUCUCUCUCUCUCUCUCUCUCUCUCUCUCUCUCUCUCUCUCUCUUUCAUACUCUCUCCAAUAUGCUUCUUCUUGCUUCUUCUCUAUUCUUUAUAUAUUUCAAUUUUUUUAUUAAUUUUUUGUGGAAUUAGGUUAUGUAUUUUUCAUUUUUGAAAUUAGGUUAUGCUUACUUACAUGAAUGAAAGCUAAAUCGUAAAAGGACCUAUUUUACAAAUGAGAAACAUUGGACAUGGGCUUAAUGAAUGAAUUGCACAAUCCUAUUACCGAAGCAAAUUAAACCAUUUAAAUGAAUACACAAACUUCACAACAGUAGUAGCAACAGCAAUUAAGUCAUCACCAUUUUCCUUUGGUACCUUUGGUUACGAUUUCUUCUAUAGUGGGUUUGGUCUUGCGUUUGGGACAUUGUUGAUUGGUUAUGGGUGGUGCUGUCCGAAUUCCUUGUUUUAUGUUAUCUUAUGUAUUUUGUUUUUGUUUAGUUUUGAACUGGUCUGGGUGAGAAGCUUGGUUUUGGCCUUGGUUUUGAGGUCUAGGUGCCUCUACCCGGUUUUUGUGACUUGCUUUGUAAUCUAUUUUUUCUGGGUUUCUUUAAUGAGAUCAGAUUUCAACCCACACCAAAAAAAAAAAAAAAAGUAAGAGGAGGCUCUCUUUAUAAAAACCAACAUUGAUGUCAAUGAUGAUGAUGAGGAAGUUGAUGUUGAACCAGAUCAUUCUGCCUCUUUGCUAAUAUCAAAUCAACAAAACUCAGCUAGCUCAAGCAGUCGACACCGCAAACGAAAUGUAGAUACUGAUAUUCAAAAGAAAAUGGCUAAAGCAUUUGGUGAGAUGAUUUCUGAGUCUAUUGACCAAUUGAAAACUAUAACUAAUAGUUUGGUGAAAGGAUCAGAACCAAGACCUGACAUUGCUGCUGAAUUGGCAAAGAUGGACUUGUCUAUUAAUGACCAAAUUAAGGCACUACGGCUAAUUUUGGAGAAAGCAAGUGAUGAGAGAACAUUCUUGACAUUGGAUGGUGCUAUGAGAAAAGCAUUUAUUCUUCUCUUACUUGGGGCGAGGGAGCUGUGAUUCACUCUUUGAUGUAGUUUGGUUUAUGAACAACUUUCCCUUUUGCUCUUAUCACCUUAGCAUGUGAUCACUUUGAAUUAUACAUUAUUUGGUACUGUUUUUAUUAACGUAUGCGAGUAUGUUGGAAUUUUUAUGAGAUACUACAAUUAUGAUAAUGGGUUAUAUGACGAAAAAAAAUAUUGGCAAAAAUAAUUGAAAAACAAAUCUUGUCAUAUGAAUCUUACCAAAAAAAAUUCGUGUAAUUUGAAUCUCAAUUUCCAUUAAAAUUAUCAAAGAAAUUUUUUUUAUUUUAAAAAUAGUCUGAUCUGAUGUUAUCCAGAACAUCACCAAACACAGUAUAACUUAGUCAGACUAUUUAUCCGGAACAGCACCAAACGCCUUAUAAUAUUAUGGAUAAAUAGUCAGUACUCUCCGGAACAAAUUAAUACUAUCCGACGAAAAUUAGUCAAUACAGUCCGACGUACCAAACGAGCCCUUAAAGCUUGUGGAUUUUCAAAAUGAACUUGUGGGCAGGGAUGGAACAUAGCUUUGGCUAACCUGGGCUACAGCCCAGGUGGCUUUUAAAAUCCCAGCCCAAAAAAUAAUUAUAGCCCAGCCAGCCAUCCAAUUGAAUAUCCUACCUUUCUUAGGAACCCUUUGCUUGCACUGCCUUGCACGUGGGGAAUAAAAGGGAGAAUAGGAAAGUUGUAGCCUACAACACAUAGGAGAAAAGAAAAAAAAAGUGAAAAAAGAGAAUGCACACAGUCGAUGGAAAAAAAAGAAAAAAGUAGAAGAAAUUGUUUAACUGUUUUUUAGAGUUGUCGACUUUGUCAACAAACUCAUAUUGCACCCUUGCACACUUAAGGGAACACUCUUGUUAUUGUUGCACUCACCUUCAAGGCUUAAUUCAAGAAGUGAAUCAAGCUUCUAUAUUUGUCAGGAACGAUAAGCUUCUCUCAAUUUGUUGAUGUUGAAAUUUGAGAAUUUUUUUAGAUUUUAUUUAGUAUCAAUUACAGAUUUGCAAUUGAGACUUAUGAUUUAUUUAUCAAUUAGGGAUUUACAAUUGGAGCUUAUCAAUUUCAGUUUAUGAAUUAUGAAUUAUCAAAUAGGAUUUGUAAUUGAUUUUGGUGUUCUUGCUUAUCCAAUAGGUUAUACUUUAACUUUAUAAUAUUGGAUCAUCAUCCAAAUCCUAAGAAGACUAUUCGGGAUUUUUUUUAAAGAAAUAAUGAAGAAUCAACUAGCAUGCAUUCCAACCCUUCUCUGCCUCCUCCAAUUUGUGAGGAGCAACCUCAUUCUGAAUCUCAAAGAGUUGUCUGAAAGUUUAAGAGUUGAGUCUCAAAGAGCCAAUUUUGAUCAAGAAGUUGAUACCAAUUCUCUUGAGCGUGAUCCAGGAUUACGUCCUCAAAUAGACACAUUUUCGCCUAAUCAACAUGAUAAUGUUCGAAGAGCAUAUAUUCUCUUAGGACCAUGUCAACCAAAACUAAAGGAAUAUCCAUCCCACUUAGAAGGGAAACAAAUGUGUCGAUUUAAUGGUAGUUGGUAUAACUAAUAUCCUUGGCUUGAGUAUUCUGUUCAUAAGGAUAAAGUGCUUUGUUCUCCAUGCUUUCUUUUUGACGUUGAUCACUCACAUAAGGCAUCACUGUAGAUGGAUUUAGAAAUUAGAGAAGAGUUGGUGGCAAAGAGUGUGCUUUCCUUACUCAUGUAGGCAUUAUAAAUUCACCACAUCAUUUUGCUAUCCAAAAGUGGAUGGAUUUAAAGAACCCAACUCACCAUAUUGACAGAGUUGUGCAACCCCUACAAGAAGUUGCAAAAAAUAGGUUAAGGCAUACAACCACAAUAGAGGCCAUUAGGUAUCUAGCAAAUCAAUGAAUGGCUUUUAGAGGUGAUGAUGAAUCUCAUGACUCCUCUAAUCGGGGUAAUUUUAUUGAGUUGGUAGAGGCUUUUGCAAGAAUGAACGAAGAAGUUGAAAAAGUUGUGUUACAAAAUGCUCCUUUAAAUGCCCAAUAUAUUUCACAUAAGAUACAAAAGGAGAUCCUAAAUAUCUAUGCUAACAAAGUGAGGAAGAAGAUACGCGAUGAAAUUGGGGAAGAUGAGAAAUUUUGUAUUCUCAUUAAUGAAGCACUUGACGAUUCUAAGAAGGAUCAAAUGGCUAUUAUUAUAAGGUUUGUUAGUUGUGAUGGGCAUAUUCGAGAAAGGUUUUUUGAUAUUGUGAGUGUUCAUGACACUAAUUCCUCAACUCUUAAAAGUGAUAUUUGUAAAGUGUUUAGUAAGCAUAGUCUUUUAGUAAGCAAUAUGCGUUGUCAAGGAUAUGAUGGUGCUAGCAAUAUGCAUGGUGAUGGAGUGACUUACAAGCAUUAUUUCUCAAUGAUUGUCUAUAUGCAUAUUAUAUUCAUUGCUUUACUCAUCACCUUCAAUUAGCUUUAAAUGCUGCUGCUAAAGAGGUAGGACUUGUUUGGAGAUUUUUUUCAAUGUUGAAUAACAUUGUGAAUUUUGUUGGUGCUUCUAUCAUACACCAUUCUGAGUUAAAAUUAACCCGACAAGCUGAAAUUGAAGACUUAUUAGUAGUUGGAAGACUUGGAACAGGUAAAGGAACUAAUCAAAUUCGAUGUCUGCAACGACCUGUAACUACUCAUUGGGGCUCAUAUUUUAGUUCUAUUAGGAGUUUGAUUGAUUUAUUUGGUGCAACCCAAGACACUUCUAAAAGAUAUUAGUCAUAAUGGACCUACCUCACAAUUUCAUGGGAAGCAGAAGGUAUUAAAAUUUCUAUGUUUCUUUUGACUUUGUCUUUGCCUUGAAUUUGUUGGACAAAACAAUGAGAUUCACUGAUUUUCUUUGUCAAAAACUUCAAAGAAAAUCUCAAGACAUUGUAAGUGCUUUGAAUUUGGUUGCAAGUACAAAAAUGGAGCUUGAUGAGUUGAGAAACAAUGGUUGGGAUGAUUUUAUACAGAGUGUACGAUCAUUUUGUGAAAAACAUGAAAUUAGUAUGCCUAAUAUGUGUGCCCAUCAUACAAUGGGCACUGGGCGUUCUUAUCAACAAAAAGAUUGUAUCACAGUGGAGCAUUAUUAUUAUAUGGAUGUAUUUAAUGAGGUAAUAGAUUAUCAGUUGGGGGAGUUAAAUACUAGAUUUCUAAAUGAAACUAUGGAACUCCUUCGUCUUAGCUCAUCAUUGGAUCCCCAUGAUGCUUUCAAGCGAUUUAACAUUGAUGAUAUAUACACUAUUACUGAUAAAUUUUAUCCUCAAGAUUUCACUACAACAGAGUUGCAGGCUUUAAAUCAACAACUGAGAUUUUAUAAGAUUGACAUGGAUCACAAUCCAACCUUCAAGAAUCUUGAUUUCAUUCAUAUAUUACUUGAGCGCUUAGUGGAAACAAGAUUAGCACAAACCUACUACUUGAUUGACAGAUUGAUUCGUUUGGUACUAACUCUUCUUGUUUCUAUAGCAACAACAGAACGAGCAUUUUCUUGUAUGAGACUGAUCAAAAAUCGGCUUCGAAACAAGAGAGGUGAUGAAUUUCUUGAUGAUUGUAUGUUACUUCACAUUGAAAGAGAAUUUACUGAUAAUAUAGAUAAUUAAUUAUUUUAAUUCUAUGAAGACUCGAAGGGUGCAACUUAUAUAGUGUUAUUUGUGAGGUAAGGCUCAUUAUGUCCCUCCCUUGAGUAGGUAUAUUAUUAAUUUUUUGUUAUCAAUGAAAUUACAUCGUACUAUCAAGUUUUCUAUCUACUUAAUAUGAUUAUAUGUAAGGUAAAUUUAGCCCAGUCAAGUUUGAAAUCCUGGGUCUAUCCCUGCUUACAGGUUUAACUUGUCUUGUUCCAGUUUCAAUCUUAUUUUUCUAUUUUCAUUGGGAUUCAUUAAGAUUCAUGUGUUAUUAGUUGGGUUUGAGAAAAUCUCUUAGAAUUCUAAUAUGGUCUAUAGCAGGAAUGCAGCAUAACUCAACUUAAAUGAAUUUGUUAACUAAUGCCCAUUUGUAAUUUUUUUUUUUUUUUUGGAAUCUAUUUAUUUUGUUACCUUGCAUGUGCUCACCAUUCGUAGGACCAGAAGUCCCUAGUAGUUAAUUUAUAAAUUCUUUAUGUCAUUACACUAGCUUGUAUUGUGAGGUUGUUAAUUAAAAUUACCAUGUGUGAUUGGAAUUUCUGGUUGAUAUAACUAAGCAUAUUAAUCCUUAUGGGACUAAUAUUAUAUUGUUUGAUCAUAUAUAUAUAUAUAUUGAAUUGUUGAGAUACAUUAUUUAAUUGGAGCUGUAUUUUUUUUUAAUUUUUGCCAGGACAGAAAGUGUUUUGGACACGACUAAACAAUUCACAACUGAUAAGGUAAAUACUAUUAUUAUGAUGUUGUAACUUAUGAGUGAUUGAUAAUCUUUUACAACUACCACAUAUGCUUCUAUAUAGAUUUUUAAUAGUCGUGCGCAAGGACAAAAGUGGCAUAGUAGUUAUCAUUAAAAGGUUUGAUGGAGUUGGGAAAAAUAUAAUGAAGAGAGCUAGACUACUUUAGAUUGUGAGAGAAGUGAGCAUUAUAUUGAGAAACCUAAUGUAUAUUCAGAUGAUGAACAACCAAUGAAUUCUGAUGCAGAUGUAAGUAUUGAUCACAAAAAAAAAAGCGUCCUAAAAGCAUUGGUACAAAGAAGUGUGGUUGCCUGUUUCAGCUAAAGGGGUUAAAUAUUGGUCCUAGAGAUAAGUGGAAAGUUGAGGUUGUAUAGGAGUUCAUAAUCAUCAUUCUGCUGAGUAUCUUGAAGGGCAUUCAUAUGCAGGACUGUUAAACAACUUGCUGGUGGAUAUGUUUAAAAGCUUGGUGAGGCCAAAAGAUAUAUUAUACAUUAUUAUAAAUUUUUUCUAUUUAUAGCUGGAAGUUUUGCCUCAUGAAAUUUGUUUGUUGUUUUAACUAUACAUUUGAUAACUUUAUUUUAUUUUGACAGUUACACUUGCAACCAUAUCAUCAUAUGCCACCUGUUAUCAAUCGUUGGCUUGAUAUUUCCAACCUCAAAGCAUUUAAUUGGUAUAGUCUAUAUCAAGAUCACAUUGACAAUUGAAAAGAGCUUAUCGGUUCAUUUGAUGUGCAUCUUGAUAUUUAUUGAUCCCUUACUAUUAGAUGUUUUGUCACAAUAGUUUUAUUUUCAUCCGACCUAUUGGGUUUUGUAAACUUUUAUGAAGUUUUAAACAUGAAGUAUCCUUUGCUAAUGGAGUCUAGUCCCGUAAAAAAAAAAGGUCUUAACUUGUAGGGCCUCUUAGAUCGAAGUCCAAAAAGAUUAGUUGUCAUUGGGUUUAGUCCACGCGUUUUUGGUUUUAGAUGUAGGUCCUUUGACAUUUAUUACUUUUUUUGUUGUGUCAAUUUUACCCUUUGAUGUAAAUAAGGAAAACACAUUGAAAUAUAAAUUUAAUGCAUUAUUUCCUUGUAAUUGCAUUUCAGAAUUUAAAUUUUGAAUUAUUUCCUUGAUAAAUUGUGUUACCUAUAAGGUAGGAACAUAAAUUAUAAGACUACCUAUAAGUCAGAUACAAAAAUAGACAAAUAAAAUUUUAUGUCACCUAUAAAAAUUAGAACCUAAAUUACACAUUUUCGAAAAUAUGAAGAGAAAAAAAACACAUAUAUACCUAUGCAAUAGGCAAUAAGACAAUAUACCUACCCCGUAAACAAAUGCUUUUUUUCUUUUGUCAAAACAUUUAAAGUUCGAAAGAGCAUGAAUGUAGGUAAAAAUGUGAAUUUUGGGAAAUGUUUGCUAUAUUUUCCUUUUCUAUUCAAUGUCAAACGUUGUAAAUAGCUAAUUAUUAUGACAUGGAUGACUAUGAUCCCAUUCAAGUCGAAAAGGGCAACAUUGGAACAAAAAAUAAUUUUCAAAAUAAAUAAAUAAAAAGAUUACAUCAUAAAAUACUAAAAAAGGAAUGUAAUCCUAUGUGGCACAAAAGUCAAAGAACUUAAAUCAAAGUCAUCAAAUCCGAGGAUCAAACCCAACUCCUCAAUGAGAAUUUGAAUCUAUAUCAACUUUUCUAUAACUUAACUUGUAUGUCAAUAGUCUGAAGUUCAAACCCUACCACACACCUCUUUAUCUGAUUAGUUAACCUCUUUGUCUUAACUUUAGCUACGUAAAUUUGGACCAAAUAUUUUUGAAUAUUCAUGGGUGAAGCUAGAUAGGUACACCCUCAUAGUAAUAAGCAUUUAACUAUAAUACAAGGGUUGGUUUAACAAUGUUUGAUAAUUGACCUUUUCCGUUGGGUAAAAAAUAAAUUAAGAGGUGUUGUGGUCAUUGGUUUUCACUAUCAUCAGAAAACAAAACCAAACAAACUACAAUUUCCCAUAUGAUGUAAUCACAUGAUAAAAACAGCCUUGUGAAGACGACAAAAUUCCAUGUAUACUACAAAUAUUGUUUAAUGAUUUAAGUAUCAGAGUGAACAAAGAAAAAUAUGGGGUUUAAAUAGAAAAACUCUUUUAUUUUUUAUUUUUUCUGCUAGGUGUGUACACUACUACAUUUUACAAUUUGCGCGACGAAUAGAAUUUCGUCGUGCAAAGUACAUUUUAGUCAUACAAAUUUCAGCGCGACAGAAACUUUGUCGUCCAAAGAUCAUGAAGAAAGACUUUGCGCGACAAAGUUUUUUCAUUGGUCGUGCAAGUUUUGUGCGACGAAAAGUAUUGGUCGCACAAAGUUUUGCGAGACGAAAAACGAAGAAAAAUAUUGGUCGCGCAAAGUCUUGAAAAAAUUAAUAAUAAAAAACUAAUUUUUUUAGACUUUUGCGCGACGAAAUAUUUUUUGUGUUUUAAAAUUUUUUAAUUAGAAUAAACUAAUUUAAUAGUUUGCGCGAUGAAAUAUUUUGUCGCGCAAGGUUUUUGACUUUUUGUUUUAUUGUUUCUUUAAUAUUAAUUUUUUUCGAAUUUUUACUUUUUAAAUUUAAUUUAAUUGUAUGAUUUUUUUAAUUAUUUUAAUUAUAAUUUAUAUUAAUUUAAUUAUAUUAAAAAAAAAUUCAGAUUUUCACUUUUUAAAUUUAAUUUAAUUGUAUGAUUUUUUUUAAUUACUUUAAUUUAAAUUUGACAUAUUGAAAAUAAAAUUACAUAUGAAAAAUAGUGAUCAAAUUAUCUAAUAAAUAAAUAAUAAAUUAUUUUAUUUUACGAUUUAAAAUAUAAAUAAGGUUAAAGCUACUUAAUAAAUAUAUAUACUAUUCAAUUUCUUAAGUGUUAUACGUACAACAUAAAUAAAUUUAAAGCUACUGAAUUAAUAUAUAUAUAUAUAUAUAUACACACCAUUCAACGAUCCAACCGUCCAUUGAUCCCAUGACGAGAUUAUCACAAAUUCCCCAAGCCUGAUGAAUCUGGCCGUCUGUUCUUCGUCGUAGUCCAUCAAGAUCAACACACAGCUUUUGCACUUGAAAACUUGUGUGAGGCUUCCAUGGGAGCUCCUUUGCGUUGAACUGCUGCUCGUUGACAUUGAGCUCCCUAGCUAAAUGAAAUUGAUAUAAAGAAAAAAGAUAGGUCGAGGCUAAAAAGGAAAAAUAAUAUUAAUUUGAGAAGAAAAAGAGGACAACCUUAAAUGGCAGAGUGAUGAGAAAGUUGGUUGGCUUAAUUUGGACGUCUUCUGUGUUACCAUAUGAGGAUUUUGAAUUUGGCUGGGGAGAAACAAUGCAUGGUUGCAAAAUCUGACACAGUGCCACGUUGCAUGGACACCACAGAACUUGCGCCAUGUGAAUUUAACCCGAUAAAUUUGUAUUUUGGUUCUUAAACUUAGACUUGAUUUGCAUUUUGAUUCUUGAAUUCACAAAAUGCCUGAUGUACUCCCUUAACUUCACUUUUGUUACCAGUGUUUGUCCUGUGUUACUUUUUCUGUCCAAUUUAGGGACAAAGCAGUUGUUUACGUUCUUUCUAAUGGGCAUAAACAUAUCUUUACAUUCACCCUCCUCUUUUCUUUUUCUUUUCUUUUUUUUUUUUUUUUUCAAUUGAUCUGGUCAAGAUUGAGGAGAUUGAGUUGGAGGACAUAUGUGGUGGGGUAUUGGUUGAGAGGAAAUACUUGUGGGGCAUAGGUAGGGAAGAUGUCGUGGUGUGGGAGAGGGCAGGUCAGGUGAAGGGGGAUGGUCGUUGGUGGUGGACGGUGGGUUGGGUGCGAUGAGAAGAUGGGUGGGUCGGGAGGGAGGAAGGAAAGAGAGAGGUUUGUGUUGAAAUAUUUUUCUAUUUAAUUUUUUAAUUUAUUGUGAAAGGUAUAGGUGGAUUUUAAGGUUUUGAAAAGAAAAAAAAAGUAGUGGCUGAACUUCGAUGUUUGAUUGGUGUGAAUAAAAAAACUUAAGGCAAAUGGGUUUUGUUCUUUAUUAUUUGUUCUUUGUCCUUAUGGUGUUGGAUUGGAAAUAGUGGAUUUGGGUACAAAGUGGUGGUGGGUAACGUGGUUAGUGUGAGUAAUGAGGGCUGGACCUGGAUUUGAAGGGAAAAUGUUACCUUUAAAUUUAACAAAUUUGAUGACAUGAUCAAUAUUGCUAACGAAAAUGGAGUUGAUAGAGUAGUCAUUUUAUGAAUUCGAUGACCAAAAUGCAAAUCGGGUCUAAAUUCAAGAAAAUAUUUAGUUCUUCUAAUUUGAUGGUUUUUUUUGUUGUUAACAAUUUGAUAGUUUUUAAUAUUUUAAUGAGAAAAAAAAAAGUAUAUAUCAAAUAAUCAACCAGAUGCAAGUCCCUGACCACUUUAAAUUAACAAAUAUAUAUCAAUCCCAACCCCAUAUAUCUGGAAUCAAAGGUAGAUUAACCUGGUAAGUGAAAUUCAAAGCUCAAGAGCAUGGCUCAAUUGGGCCAUGUAGGCAAAAAGUCGUUAGAUUUGACUGACAGCUCAAAUUUGACCGGAAAUUCUCUCCCAUCACAAGUACGCCAUGGUCAAGGUCAUGCUGAUUGUUGACUGAAAACCUCAAUUUUUAAUUAACUCAGAAGGCUUGUGCACAGAAAGAAGCGAGAUGUGAGAGGCUUUUUGUUAGGUAGUUUGCAUCAACGGACUAAUUUCUUUUAUGCAAGAAUGAGUGUGAUGUGUUUGUGUUUGUCCAAGAAAAAAGUGAGGGUUUUCCCAUUGGAAAGAACGUAAAUCUAUUGUUUUGUUCCUAAAUUUGAUAGAAACGGGAUACAUGACUAAUACUGCCAACGAAAGUGAAGUUUAAAAACUACAAAGACAUAUAAUUAAGUUCGAGAAAAGUCAACUUUAUAGUCAUGAAUCCAAGUCAAGUAAAUUCCUUCUAAAUUUUCCAGCAAACAAUUCCUCAGCAAGCUUUCUUUCUCGUCUUUUAUUUCUUUGUUUCUUUAGUAGACUUUUAGUUUAAACAAUGAUACAUUAUUCUAACUGAAGAUUAUACUUUCUUUGGGCACUACGUUAUAGGUGAUGACUGUCAAGAAAAUUGUUUGAUAUCAGUCAGGAACCUUUGAAUUCUGCUCAUUUGACCUUGUUGGUUAGUCUUUUAUGCAGUUCCAUGUUCAAGUCUCACGUUGAACACUUCAUAAAUCUAGUCAUUAUAUACUAGCCACCUGAUUACUUGACAUGGUCUUGCCUUGCACUCUACGCUAUCAUCAAUUCUUCUUUCUUUUGGUUUUUUUUUUUUUUAAUUUUUAAAAAGAGACAUUUUACAGAAAACGAGAUUCGAAUUCAAGUACGAAGAGCAAACGCACUACUGUAGUCAAUUGACCAAACCCAUAUGUGCUAGCACGCAUUUGUUAAUUCUAGUAUAGUUAACGUGUGCUUUAUCGCUUUACAUUUACCAAGAAAGUUUCCCUUAGAAAAAUAUAUAUGGGAAAAUUUCCUUUAAACCCCAAAUAUGGUUUAAAGGUAUUAAUUCUGGUCUAAGAUAUGGUUCAAGGGUAUUAAUUUUGUUAUGAGGCAUGGUCCCAAGGUAUUAAUUUAUGUUAGGCAAAAUCAAGUGAUUUGAUUAAACUUAACAAAAAAAUACAAAAAACUAAUCCAACUGGUUCAUCAAAUGUGGAUUUGGAGAGAUUUCUCUUGGAUUAUUUAAUCCAAUUUGGUACCUACACGUGUAUUAUAUGCGUGCUUAUUAUACCAAUCUCUUCGGAAUUAAUAAAAGACCCACUUCCACUUUGAUCUUCCAUUUUCAUCAAACACCUUCAAAAACAAGAUCGAUCCCAGAAAAACCCAGAUGGAAUUCUGCGGGCAGCAAGUGGUUCUGAUCAGUGGGUGCUCCCAAGGAGGCAUAGGCCAUGCCCUGGCACGUGCGUUUGCUGCAGAGGACUGUCUGGUGGUGGCUACGAGCAGGUCACUGAGCUCCAUGGCUGACCUUCAGGAGGACCCAAGGUUGUUUUUACAAGAGCUGGAUGUGGUUUCAGAUGAGAGUGUGGAUCAUGUGGUGUCUAGUGUUUUGGAGAAGUACGGCCGAAUUGAUGUGCUGAUCAACAAUGCUGGGGUUCAAUGUGUUGGUCCACUUGCAGAAGUCCCUCUCUCUGCUCUGCAAAACACUUUUAAUACCAAUGUUUAUGGUAUUGAAAGGACACUCUUUACUCUCUUUCAGUAUAUUCUCUUUUGGCUCCAUUGUUUCCAGUUUUGUCCUUAACAUUCAUCUACUUGCUAAUGGUGAUUUCUUUUUGCUUGUCAUUCUGUUUGUGUUGUUUGUCGCCUGCUUUUUUAUAAAUAGCUAUAUGGGUUUUUGCUCAAAUUGCUGUUGAGGGUAAAGGGAGAAUUGACAAAUCCAAACAAAUCCACUUGUGUGGUCUCCAAAAUUUUCCUUUAUUAACUGCCAAGCAGGUCUGUUAUCCAGUGGCUUGUUUGGUCUAAAAUUUGCUGCAUAUCAUUCUCUUACACAUGUGAGCCUUUAGCUAUAACAUAUCAGUUUUCAAUUGUUCUCAUUCUAAUUUGAGCAUAUGCCCAAAAACUUAUCAAAAAUACACAAACCCUAUGUCUCUCACACUCUCUACUGAAAACCAGAGAAACUCAGCAAAAAUUUGAAGGCACCACAACACACCCUUUAGGCAAUUACUGAUUGACAUCAUCCUCAGAAAUUUUUUGAUCAAAUCGUAUUGGAUUAAUGAGCUUGUUAAAGCUUUGCAGAGGUUCUGUAUAAAACAGGAAUUUUGUCAUUAGUUUGCCAACCUUUAUUUUCCUACUAAAUGUGGCACUGGAGCUUAACUGGUCUUCUAAUGCAAUGAAGCACAUGGGCAGUAUCUUCUACAUAGGCUUUCAGAAUGAUUUUAUAAAUUUCAUUUAUAUUCAAUCGUCUCAUGCAGUGAUGCCAGCACAUUUUUCAUUUGUCUUCCUUAGCAUUUUCCUUAGUUUGUUCUCAAGAUGAUUGAUUGCAUAUGUACUCUUUUUGUGACUAUGGUUUAAGGUUCCAUGAGGUUGAUACAAGCUGUUGUCCCUCACAUGGCAUCAAGGAAAAAGGGAAAGAUUGUAAAUCUUGGAAGUGUUACUGUUUUGGCCCCUGGACCAUGGGCUGGUGGUUACACAGCAUCCAAAGCUGCUCUUCAAGCACUUUCUGAUUCUUUAAGGUUUGUGCAUCCCCAUAUCGCUUGUGGUUCGUAUUACAUACCUGUUUUAUUCUCAGUUUAAACUUUGGUUCAUAUAUAAUUACAUCAAAAGAAUACUCUGGUUCGUAUCUAGUAGUGUUCCCCCUUUCAUCUCAUAAAAAUUGAAAAUUGGUGCUUGGAUAAAACUCUUCUGAGUUAUUUCAAUGUUAGGAAGUGACUAGUUCUUAUGAAAGGAAUAAGCAGCAUCAACAAAAUUCCUGUUGAAAAUGUUAGAAGAUAUGUGACAAAAGGAAAUUUCCUAAAUUCCUAGCCAUUUGUUUUAAAUGAUUAUUUUGUCUAAAAUUUUGUUGUAUUGAUUUCGGCAUGCAAUUCAAUCAAAAUGAUGGGUGUACAAGUUUAAGACUAGGAACAACAUAGAUUGUAAUUAAUGUUUUGUUUUUGCAAAGGAAUGAUCUCUGCCCCAUCUAACAUCUGGUUGUGGGAAUGUCAGAUAUACUUUUCUUAAAAUUCUUGCUGGUUGACAUGCCACUUAAAUUUACUAAUUCUGUACAGCUUUGUCAUCUUUGAUUGUUUUCUUUUCCCCUUUUAUGAUUACUAAUUAUCCGCAAAAUAUCCAUGUUUAUUAGAUUGGAACUCAGGCACUUUGGGAUCAAUGUAAUCACUGUUGUACCUGGAGCUAUUAGGUCAAAUAUUGGAAAUUCUGCUUUAGCCGGCUACAACCAGAUGCCUGAAUGGAAAUUAUAUAAACCUUUUGAAGCAGCAAUCCGCGCUAGAGCAACUAUGUCACAAGGACCCCAUUCAACCUCUGCCGAAGAGUUUGCAAAGAGGACUGCGGCUGCCAUUCUGAAGGAGAAUCCACUAGCUUGGUUCUCCUAUGGCCACCACUCUACCAUUUUCGCAAUCUUGUAUCAUCUGCCACUGUUCAUAAGGGAUUUUGUCAUGAAGAAAGCAAUGAAAUGUUGAGCUCCUACAUUCUUUAUGGUUUUGUUUCCUAAUAGUUUUGUCUGUGUGCUCAAAGUACAUGUAUCAAGAUCGCCUUAUACAUGAAGAAAGCAUCAUGUUCGUUAAUAACGUAACAGGUUACAAGUGAAAAAUAUUUCCAUGUGUGAUUUAUGUAUCUUCCUUCACCUCAGUAGUGCAUAUGAAUAAUGUUAUAUUUGGUAAAAGAGCUUGGCCAAUGCCUAGCAAUCGGUUCAUGAUUGCAUUUGAUUUGAGUUUCACUGCCUAGUAUAAGUUGUGUUUGUGGAAAGAUAAUCAUGGAGAUUUGAAUAGGAUGGUAUGCAAAUGAGCUCUAUUUGAUCAAAUUCUUCAAAUCUGUUCAGAAUCUCUUUUUCUUCUACUUGCACAGAUAAGAUUUAAGGUCCUUCAACUUUCAACUACAAACAAUUUCGAGAUAUGCUGUGGGUUGUAGAUAUGCAUCAUAAGAACCUGAUUAAGUUGCUUUGCUGCAGUGGGUAGGAGAUAUCCAGAUUCCAGGAGUGUACAAACAAUUUUGUAGGGUGUGCUUGAUCAUUUCUAAUACAAGCUUGGAGUAACCUUCAACUACGAUGUUUGGCUAUAAUAAUUAUCCAAAAAUAUUGUUGGGAAAAUGAUAUGGAUAUUUAUCCGACCGAUUAAAUUUAUAUUGGAUCCUAAAAGCGAAAAUGCUGACCCCAGAAAUUAGAGCCAAAAUGCUGAUCUCAGAAGAAACGAAAAAAAAAAACACAAAGCCGCACAAAUGAAUAAACAAAAAUUUUGAUCUCGGCACAAAAUGUUUUUUUCCUCAAAAUUUCACAUUGGUUACACUUCCUACCUAAGUUAUGCAAAUUUCACAUUGGUUAUACUGUCUACCUAAAUAAUUCUAAUUCACUGAGAAUUAUGAGGAUGACCGUAAUACACCAUUCCAGGUGGCUGAAGUGGUCGGAAACUAGGAGCUGGAGGUUGCUGAGUUAAGGGUAUUGGUUGCUGCUGGGUAAUUUGUACGGCCUGUUGAUUCAUUUGCAAUGGCUGUUGAGUCAAAGGCACCAUUGGACUCACCAUAUGAGGCGGGGGAGGUGGUGGUCCUAGAGGCAAAGGUGGAAUGCUCCCAUAACCAUAUGAGCUCAUGACCCCUCCUGCUGGCUGUAAAUAUUGUUGGGAGGGUGGGUUUGGAAGCAUGUGAAAUUGACCUUGAGAGGUGGGGGCUUGAUUCUGAGGUUGGGGAACCAAUGCUGAUUGGUAUGAAUGGUUUGGCGGCACAGCAGGCGGCUGUGCUGAAAUAAAAACAUUGGCAUCUGAAACUGGUAUGGACCUUUCAGGUUUGGACAUUGAAUCAGUCCCCGAACUCUUGGGCAUGGAUGUGAAUGAAUUUGAAGACGUGGAGGGCUUUGUCAGACCAGCGUUCUUCGCUUCUUCAGCAGCGAAAGUAGAAAGAACAGAAGUCAUAAUCAAUUGAGAAGAACUAGAAGCAGCAAGCUUGUCUGCAACCAAAGCUGCAAUGGCUGCAGCUGAUUUCCUAGGUGUUUGUCCCCCUUUAGAAUUUCCAUCAGUCGGUGGACUAGUCGCACUUGAUGGUUUAAAUACAUAGUCUUCAUCAUUGAGUCGCUUCCGCAUGUUCGUGGCUUCUUCUGCCUGUGCCUGUGCUACCUACACUUGUCAAAAUAUAUCAGCUUAGCAGUCGGAUGAUCCAUUGGUCAAAUGUUACUAUAAUGAAGCUAAAUAAUAGUUAUCCCUAUAUCUGUACCUACUGCAGACAAAUAGAGAACUAAUGACUUCGAGAGCAAGACUCGUAUUCUUUACUUGACACAACACAACAAGACACAUGUUAAAUUAUCAAGGUCCAAUAAAUUAGGGGGGCAAAAGAUAGUAGACUUGGAACUUAUCACAACAAUUUUAUAUCAUCAUGUCAAAUGCUUUGAUGUACUAGAUAAUUUAUUUUGCAUGAUCUCAUAAUCACAACGAAAGAAUUAAAAACUAGCUUGAGAUCCAUGCAACACUUGCAAGUAUGAUAUUAAGAGUGGGAAUUGAAUGCAUCUAUUAGCACAAAGUUCACUGAAAAUUUGAGAUGAUACAAUUGGACUAGACAGCGUACAUGUUUGUCCAUGACCAACUAAACAUGCUCUGGCCUAGUGUAGGGUCAUGCAACAACAAAGUCUUUCUCAGAACCGUAACAACAGUAACAGGAGAGCUGGUCAUCAUCACACACAAAAGUCCCAAUGCCAAAAUUCUCCUCCAUAAAGGCAAGCCACUGUAAUGUAAAGCCCAUUAUAUGUUUAUAAGAAUACUGGACUUCCAUUAUAAUGAAUGGUAUUGACAAAAGAGCAAAUGUCCUGAACUUGUACUAACCAAUAGCACUCCUACAGCAAAAGUCUCGUAAGAGGCUCAGAACCAAAUCUCAAGGUUUGUUAGACAACUUUUGUUAUUUUUUAUUUUUUAUUUUUUUAGCUUUCACUUAUACAUGCUUUGAAAAUUUCCCCAAUUCAGCAACUUCUGCUGUAAUGGAAAUUAAGGCCAUUUCUCAAGCACAGCAACAGUUGUAACAGCUACCACAGCUGCCCUCAAUUUUUAGCACCAACUUGCAUGUAUUUUGAAAAAAAUUACAUUGACUCAUCAACUAACAGUUCACUAAUAAUCAAACCAACAUGAAAAUUAAGAAGCGUUGCAACAGUUUUGACCAUGGGUGGCAAUUUGGUAUGUCAAAGCAGGUUAGGGCAUGCCCACUUAUGCGUUACCCACUACCCUAAAUACAUGGACAGGACACGGACACAAUGUGGCGUUUCUGUCUGACUAGUGAUUGUUCAACCCAAUUCACACCUGAAUGUAUAUUCCAAGAAAAGUAAAAAAAACGUUUUUUGAAGACCUUCCUAUUGAGAGGGACGAUAACAUACUAAACUCACACACACCACACGGAUGCUAGGACUCGAACCCAGGACCUUUCCUGAGGGAGGAAUUGCUCCAAACCACUACACUAGUGGGUCCUUCAAAGAAAAAAAUGUGAAGUUUUUAAAGUUCAGUUAAGGCAGAAAUUGCAUUCCUUCUCUACUCUGUUCUCCAGUUUAUCAGUCGUCAAGCAAACCACCAUAUGUAAUUACAAAAUUUCACAAAAUCCCUUGAUGUUAGGUUUAAAUAACUAACUUCAUCUUCUAAAGUCCUAAAGAUGUGAGCUAGCUCCCAGCGACCUUUGGUUAGGAGACAGCCCAGAUCUGGGUUCAACUUUAGUAACUAACAAAAAUGGAAGGAAAUUACACCACGAGGGGAAAAAUAACACAGAAAACCAAAGAUCAAUAGCCACUUCCCUUCUCCACUGACACUAUAUCAUUCUGGUUGUCUCUUGCCCAAGUAAGACACUUAAUCCAAAAGGAUAACGAUGAGAAGGUUGUAUCCUGUUUUCAUUUUGGUCUUCCCAGAAACUUGUACCUGUCUAUGGAAGAGGAGAGUAACUCGUUUGGUUUGGAUGUUAAAUGACAAAAUUUUGGCACCCCUUCUUGUAACAGUUUCCAGUGGCCAAGUGGAUGUUACCUUAUAAUUUACCAAAGAAGAGGCAAUAUAGCAUUCUAAAUCAUGAAAAUACAAUGUGCCACAUAACUAUCCAACAAUCUUCCAGUACACACUAUGGCAUGAUGAUCAAAGGUAAAAUUUUAUAACAUGCAAACACUCCAUCUCAUAAAACUUUAAACAAAAGCAGGGAAAAAAAACACGAACAACAACAAGAAGAAGAAUUUAUUGAAAGAUUCAAUCAUUAGAGACAUACCUGCAUAUGAGUCCGAACAUUCUCCAGUUCAGAUUCCUGACAAAGUUUCCAGAAAGUUAGCAGAAGCGUACAACAUGAAAAGCUUCUUGUUGAAGGGAGCACAACAUGGUUCCUUAUUUGCGUGUUUUCGAACUAGAAACCUGAUGAACAAUUUUUAUUUAUUUAUAAAUGGCUUGAUUCAAUACCUGUUCAUGCAGAGCUUCUUUUAAUUGAGAUACAAGCGCUACUCUACUUGCUUCAACUAAUUUAAGUUUUUCAAUACAUUGCUUCAAAAGAUUUUCUUCCUCCUCUAGUUCUUUUGAUAAAGUUUUCCGCUUUGGAUCCUUUGCUGAAGAUAAAAGAAAAUUGGGUUAAGAGGCCACAAUUUUGGAAAUCAGGCAAGACUUAAAUGCCCUUAUGCAAAAGGACGUAAUUCUGAAAGAGCUAAAAUUAUUUCUAGUCAUAACCAAAGAUACUUUACCAUUAGUACAGGCUAUGUCAACAUCUUUCUCCAACUUCCUUACACGAUGAACUGCAGAUUUGCAUUUACUCAUCUCAGCAUCUUCAGUGGGAUGUUCACUGAUCACUGAGUGAAAUGCAGAUACGAUCUUCUCAGCUGAACCACCAAUGGAAAGUUUCUGGUUUCCAAAUAUUAUGAAGUUAGCAAUCACUCAAAUAAGUAGAAAUACAGGAGCAGAACAUGUCUUAAGUUGAACAAAAGACUUAGUUCUGCAGAUAUGGUAGUCACAUAGAAAUAAAAUGAAGCAAAAUGGGAAAGGAACUAUAACAGAAGCUCUUAUGCUCACCGUUCUGAUAGAGCGUGAAUCUCUUUUUACAAUUCUGACUGAACGUGAGCGCUUCUUGCCGUUGAAUUCCAAGGGUGGAGGCACUUCUUCCCCAAGCAUUAGUUCUUUGAGGCUCCGGGCACGAGACCCAAAUACUCGCCUCUCUUCCCAUAUUCCAACCUAAAAAAUUUGUAAGAGAUAGCAAACCAAGUUGAGCCAUUUUGUACAUCGUAGAAGGAAUUAAUAAACCAGUUGAUCAAAAAUUCUUACAGUUAGACUGGUGCACAUGAUUAAAAUAUAAGUAGAGUCAGCUAGCAUUCUUUGGACCAGGUAAAGAGGGAGAGAAGAAUAUUUAUGUUAAAAGUUCAAACAGAUAUAUGUUAAAUACCCAAAACCUAUUACUUGUCCGCCUACUUAUGGUUAAAAAAAGGAAGAUGUUAUUGGCACUCCUCACUAAUGAAAAAAAUAAGGGAGGGAGCUGUGCAGGACGACUAUUUUGGAGUGCUAAUAACAAUUUCCUUGAAAAAUAUUCAAGAUUGAAAUUAAAAAAUUGUGACAGCAAUACCUAACUCUAAAUUUGUUAUUAGUAUAACACUGCAUUUUCAAUUAGUGGCUAUAGGUUCAUGCUAUCAGUUGCUGGAUUUGCUAACUGAAACAAAAUAAAUGAAAGAGGAACUUACUAAUCUAGAGACAACAGUCUUUCCAUGAUCAUCGCCUUCCUCAAUAACAACUUUGAGCGCAGCUGGAAGAACCUUCCAAAACUCGGUAACAAAUUCAUUUCCUUUACGCUUACUGUUCUGUAGGAUGUCAUUUGCAAGAUACAAGAGAGGAACUUUCUGAACCAUCUGUGCAUUAUGGAAUUGUUUAUCCCAUGUUGUAACAACCAGUUCCGCUUUGCUUCGGUGAAAUAUACACCAAUGUGACAAAGCUUAUUAUAAAGUCAAGGAAACCGCAUUUUACCAGAGACAUUAAACAACAAUGCUUCAGAAUGCAUUCAAGUUAACAAGAAGUAGACUCCGGCACGUUUUUUAAACUUUAAACUCAACCUUCAAUGAAAUUUUUUAUAAUAAAAAAUGUUUAAAAUUGAAACCAAUAAAUAAAUAAAUGAGCAAUAGGCCAAAAGGUUAUUCAAAUUGGGCUUCAAUCAUAUGUAUCUUGUGCAUGUACUGUCAUCUAGCCAACAUUUGAAAACAUUUGAUGUUUUCACUAAUGUAAGUCAUAAACCAAACCAGCUUGAUAUGCAGAUUGAUGGUACUCAUAGAAUUAAAUGAAUGGUGUUGUGCAUCUACUCCUCCAAGGAGCAAACCAUCACUUAGUUCCCAGUUAGGCUUCAUCAACCAUUCAAUAGACUUCUUCCACAAUUCUGGAAAGUUAAAUUCUAUUGUUUUCCCCUAUUUUUUAAAGCAAAAUUUAAUCAUGAAUUCAGAAGUACCAUAUUAGCUAACAAACUUCCGUUAAGAAAGAAAAGGGUACUCUUUACAACAUUGAAAAUGCUGAACUUGACAAAGGAAGCAAAAUGGUAAAAACAGUCAAAUCAAGCCAUCUCCUUCAACCAACCGACAGCACACAAGCAAUAAAUUUUGGAAUUUACCUUUGUUGGUUUCUAUAGAAGCAACUCAAAGUUUAAAAUCAGCUAUCCUUUCCAUGUCCCGUUUUAG
Molecule: long non-coding RNA, 77419 nt
Filed under: Prunus persica (peach)
Lineage: Eukaryota; Viridiplantae; Streptophyta; Magnoliopsida; Rosales; Rosaceae
Description: long non-coding RNA (PPER_LNC006322)
Source: RNAcentral